RNAcentral lists this long non-coding RNA (67426 nucleotides) under Lathyrus oleraceus (garden pea). RNAcentral describes it as "Pisum sativum (pea) long non-coding RNA (PSAT_LNC021935)". The record is from RNAcentral. Lineage: Eukaryota; Viridiplantae; Streptophyta; Magnoliopsida; Fabales; Fabaceae.
UUUAUUUUAAAACACAAACAACUAGUUCAUUGAAAUGAUAACUUGUUUAGUACACAAACAAGAUCUUACUUAAUACAUAGAAAUAAGAUCUUACGGAACAUAGAGAUUAAAAACAUAGGAACAACAUGAAAAGUUUUUAAAAUGACAUAGAUAUUGAUUAACAAAGAUAUGAACUAGUUUCGGGUAUUUUUUAACCAUCCAUCAAGGUAAACUUGUUUGGAGUCAGGGGUGGAUUUUGGUCUAAUAUCUUUCAACCAUCCAUCAAGGUAAACUUGGUUGGAAUCAGAGGAGGAUUUUGCUUUUUCAGCUCGAGUGUCUUUCAACCAACCAUCAAGAUAAACUUGUUUGGGAUCAGAGGUGGAUUUUGUUUUCUCUGCUCGAGUAUCUUUCAACCACCCAUCAAGGUAUACUUGGUUGGAGUCAGGGGUAGAUUUUGUUCUCUCGUUUCGAAUAUCUUUCAACCAUCCAUCAAGGUAAACUUGGUUGGAAUCAGAGGAGGAUUUUUCUUUUUCAGCUCGAGUGUCUUUCAACCAACCAUCAAGAUAAACUUGUUUGGGAUCAGAGGUGGAUUUUGUUUUCUCUACUCGGGUAUCUUUCAACCACCCAUCAAGGUAUACUUGGUUGGAGUUAGGGGUAGAUUUUGUUCUCUCGUUUCGAAUAUCUUUCAACCAUCCAUCAAGGUAAACUUGGUUGGAGUCAGAGGAGGAUUUUUCUUUUUCAGCUCGAGUGUCUUUCAACCAACCAUCAAGAUAAACUUGUUUGGGAUCAGAGGUGGAUUUUGUUUUCUCUACUCGGGUAUCUUUCAACCACCCAUCAAGGUAUACUUGGUUGGAGUCAGGGGUAGAUUUUGUUCUCUCGUUUCGAAUAUCUUUCAACCAUCCAUCAAGGUAAACUUGGUUGGAGUCAGAGGAGGAUUUUUCUUUUUCAGCUCGAGUGUCUUUCAACCAACCAUCAAGAUAAACUUGUUUGGGAUCAGAGGUGGAUUUUGUUUUCUCUACUCGGGUAUCUUUCAACCACCCAUCAAGGUAUACUUGGUUGGAGUCAGGGGUAGAUUUUGUUCUCUCGUUUCGAAUAUCUUUCAACCAUCCAUCAAGGUAAACUUGGUUGGAGUCAGACAUGGUUUUUGUUUGCUUUGCUCGAGUAUUUUUCAACCAUCCAUCAAGGUAAACUUGGUUGGAGUCAGAUGUAGAUUUUUCUUUCUCAGCUCGGGGAUCUUUUAACCAUCCAUCAAGAUAAACUUGUUUGGAGUCAGAGGUGGAUUUUGUUUUCUCUGCUCGGGUAUCUUUCAACCAUCCAUCAAGGUAAACUUGAUUGGAGUUAGGCAUGGACUUUUCUUUCUCGACUCUGAUAUUUUUCAACCAUCCAUCAAGAUAAACUUGGUUUGAGUCACUUGCAGGUUUUGUUUUCUCAACUCGGGUAUUUUUCAACCAUCCAUCAAGGUAAACUUGGUUGGAUUCAGAGGUGGAUUUUGCGUUCUCUGCUCUGGUAUCUUUCAACCAUCCAUCAAGGUAAACUUGGUUGGAGUUAGGUGUUGACUUUUCUUUCUCAGCUCUGAUAUCUUUCAACCAUCCAUCAAGAUAAACUUGGUUGGUGUCACCGGUAGAUUUUGCUUUCUCAGCUCGAUUAUCUUUCAACCAUCCAUCAAGGUAAACUUGGUUGGAUUCAGAGGUGUCUUUUGCUUUCUUUGCUCUGGAAUCUUUUAACCAUCCAUCAAGAUAAACUUGAUCAGAGUUCUGGGAGGAUUUGGUUUUCUCUGCUCGUGUAUCUUUCAACCAUCCAUCAAGAUAAACUUGGUUAGAGUUAGCAAUGUGUUUUUGACUCUUCAAUGGAUUUUUGAGCCAACCAUCAAGGUAAGGUUGAUCAACUUGUAUUUCUUGUACAUUCUCUUGCUGAAGUUUGAUAUAUCGGGCAAAGCUUCCUUGUCCAUUCUAUAAUACAAUUGAAUAAAUGGAUAUUAGUGAGUUAUUUUUGGAUGGUAUAUAUGAUUACAAAAACAAAAUAAUGUGUUUUAUAAGACACAUUAUGUUGCACAGGUGAGACACAUUCAUUAUAUAUUUCAGAUGGAUACAAAAUGUGAAAUAAAAAUGAAAGAAAAACAAUUUUUAAAAUUUCAUUGCGGCAUAGAAAACAUUAUUUUAUCAAAUCAAAUAGAACAACUUGAUUGUAAGUGAAUGAUGAAAUCAAAUCAAAUAAAGAUGAGAAAUGAUAGAUUGUGAUAAAUAAAUGAUGAAAAAUAUAAGUGUAAAAGAUACAAGAAUGGAUGCAAAGUUAGUAACUUACGAUCAACAAGAGCAUGAUAAAAGGGAGGAGAAACAAAACAUCUUUGUGUGUCAUUUCUUUAAUGUUAUGAUUUUGUGGGAAAAUUGUUUUAAUGUGAAAAGAUGUAUUGAAAUGGAAGUGAAUUGGGCUAUUUAUAAGUGAAUGAAAAGAAAAACUACAUUAAGGAUAUUAAGGACAUUGCGACUUUGGUUGGCAAGAUUAUUUUUUAAAUAUUUAAUUUAUUUUAUUUUUUAAAUGUUUAGUUUAAUUUAUAAGUUUAUAUGUCUAAGAAAGAUCAAUUUACUUUUUCCAAGAUCUAUUAGGUGUGUUGUUUUGAGUUAUAAAUAAAAAAUUCAAAAAAUUGUUUGUUUGGUAUCAUUUUUUUAAUUAGAAGCUCCUAACUAAAUUCUCCAGGUUUAAAAUAAAUAAAUUUUAGAAAAGCUACUGCAAUUAGUUUUUUAUUUUAAAAUUAAAAAUGAUUCUCUUAAAAACUUUAAUAAAAACCUAUUAAAAUGAUAAAGGUGAUUUUUUAAAUGUUAAACAAACAUUUAUUUUGAUAAGUUAUUUCAAAUAAUUUAAAAUUUCAUAAAUUUAUUUUAAUUUAUAAUUGAAGUGGUAAUUAUCAUAAUCUCGUCUCUUGAGUUCUAAUAUUUGAGCUAAUAGUAUAAAUAUUUUUUAGUUGAAUUAAAAUUUGCAUUAAUGAUAGUUUCAAUUUUACAAUUAAUUAAACUAAUUUAGUAGUUAAUUUUAUUAAGUGUAAUAAAUGCAAUGAAUUAAUUUAACUACAUCCCCUUUAAUUCGAGGUGGGUGUAGGUAUUCCGAGACAUUCAAAUUUGAAGACUAAUAUAUAGAUUAAAAUUAUUUAUUAAUUUAUUUAAUGGUAAUUACAUAUUACAAAAUUUCAUUUUUGGAAAAAAGUUAUUAUUUUAAUAUUUUAUAUUUUUUAAUAGUUAUUAUUUUAUAAAAUUAAUUAUAAUGAGUAUAAUAUUUUAAUUUUAUUAUCAUCAAAUAUACACGACAUCAAAAUUACCAAACAUGAAAUCUAAAUAUAGGGAUCCAAUUAAUUGAAUUGGAAUUUACAUUGUGAAUCAUGAGUCUUCUGCCACCAAUUCCUAGGGACUCACUACCUAGCAAACAAUGAAUACAAAAUAGUAUCACAAGAAACACUAAAAUACUGUGUUGACCCUUGCAUGUUUAAGAUGUUCACAUGUAGCUAGGGUUUGGGUGGUUAUGUAGUUAUGCUUACCUAAUAGUAAGACUGUGUUGACCUUUGCAUGUUUAAGAUGUUCACAUGUAGCUAGGGUUUGCGUGGUUAUGUAGUUAUGCUUAUCUAAUAGUAAGUUAAAAAAUUGUAGUUAUCUAAAAAGUAAUAAAUUAUUAUAUUGACCGGUCUAAAGAGAAGAUAGAUAAGUUANGUAGUUAAUUUUAUUAAGUGUAAUAAAUGCAAUGAAUUAAUUUAACUACAUCCCCUUUAAUUCGAGGUGGGUGUAGGUAUUCAGAGACAUUCAAAUUUGAAGACUAAUAUAUAGAUUAAAAUUAUUUAUGUUCGUCUUAUAUAUUUUUUUUUUAUAUUUUAAUAUAAAUAUUUAUUAAUUUAUUUAAUGGUAAUUAUAUAUUACAAAAUUUCAUUUUUGGAAAAAAGUUAUUAUUUUAAUAUUUUAUAUUUUUUAAUAAUUAUUAUUUUAUAAAAUUAAUUAUAAUGAGUAUAAUAUUUUAAUUUUAUUAUCAUCAAAUAUACACGACAUCAAAAUUACCAAACAUGAAAUCUAAAUAUAGGGAUCCAAUUAAUUGAAUUGGAAUUUACAUUGUGAAUCAUGAGUCUUCUGCCACCAAUUCCUAGGGACUCACUACCUAGCAAACAAUGAAUACAAAAUAGUAUCACAAGAAACACUAAAAUACUGUGUUGACCCUUGCAUGUUUAAGAUGUUCACAUGUAGCUAGGGUUUGGGUGGUUAUGUAGUUAUGCUUACCUAAUAGUAAGACUGUGUUGACCUUUGCAUGUUUAAGAUGUUCACAUGUAGCUAGGGUUUGCGUGGUUAUGUAGUUAUGCUUAUCUAAUAGUAAGUUAAAAAAUUGUAGUUAUCUAAAAAGUAAUAAAUUAUUAUAUUGACCGGUCUAAAGAGAAGAUAGAUAAGUUAUUAUAAUCAAAUAUUAUCUAAAAAACAAUAAAUUAUAAGGAAUAUAGUUUCAUUAUUUUUAUGUUUAUUUAAAAAAUAUAAAUAUUUUUUAAAUUAAUGAUAAAUAAUUGAUUUUAAAUGUGAUGAUGGUUUAUAUCUUUACAUAAGAAACUAAAUGAUAAAAUGUGAAUAUUCAUAUCUAACAUUAAAUAUUUAUCUAAAUAUGUAGGCCAGCCUCAUAUUUAUUGUAAAUUUUUUAACAAAGCUUUUAAUAAUGUAAAUUAGAAUAAUGUAGGCCAGCCUCUCUAUUUAUAUAAAAAAAAUAUUUUUUAAAAUAUUUUUAUAAUAAAAAUAUAAAAUUUGUCACAAAACAAUUUUAUUAUUUUAUUAACUAUAAAAAUAUAGGUUAUAAAUCACAUAUUUCAUUUAUAAUUCAUUAACCAGUAAAAUACGUAAUAUUAAUCAAAUUAUAAUAUUAAAAUAUGAAAUACACAAUUUGCUUAAUUAUUAAUUAUUAUAUUUUAUAUUUUAAUGUCAAAAUUUAUUGAUAUUAUUUAUUUUAUUAAUUGAAUACAGUAAUAAAUAAAAUAUAUGGUUAAUCACCUAUAUUUUUGUGAUUAAUAUAAUAAUAAAAUUAAUUAAUAACAAACUUUAUAUUUAUAUUAUAAAAAUAAUUAUAAAAAUAAAUCAAAAACGAGUUUAAGACAACAUAGGAAAAAGGGAGACUCGGAUAUCGUAUCUCAAAGACGGUUGAAUUAUUAUUAAUAUACUGGAAUCGAAUUGGGGGUUUAUAUUUGAUUCAUAAUAAAUGAUUAUGAAAAGUGAUUAUAAAAUAAGUUGAUUUAUUGAUUCGGUUCCUACCUACCAUUGAUUAUUAUAGCGCGAAUGAAAGUGUAAGAAUUAUGUUUCUUAUUUGCUGAAUUAAGCAAUCAGUUAAGAUUAAAGCGAAUUAACGGAUUAAGCAUACGUUAACACGCAAUCAAAAUUAGGGAACAAUAAAUAUUCAAAUCAAACAAAAUUACUAAGUUUGAAAUUGUACCUCAUUCAGGUCUUGGUUCAAGCAUCCCUAUGUGCAUCACAUUUAACUUUGCAUAGGCCAUGAACUCAAGUCUUUUGGUAUGGAAAAAUGCAUAGAUCCAUAUGCCCGAUUCACUUCAUUCAUAUGAUGCAGAUGAUCAAGGAUGAUUGAUCCAUUUAAGACUUAGUUCCAUUGGUUCAUUCUUUGUUGCUUAAGAAAUCUCAGGGUUUUACUAAGAAGAAAGAGGUCGAGACCAGUGUCGUGAUAGUAAAUAUCUACCCUCAAGUUCAAGCACCUAUGACUCAUGUGUCAUACUACCCUUAUCUGUACAUUGUCGCUGCUCAAUAUCAGCAACCUGCAUACCAACCGCAAUAUCAACAGCCUCCAUGGGCUCCAAUUUCUCAGAAUCAACAAAAUAGCAGAAACCAGAGUCUAGGUCAGGGCAGACGUUAUGAUAGAAAACGUCCUCAGCCUGACCAUAUCCCUGUAUCAUACACUCAGUUGUUGUCGUAUCUUGUCCAGUAAGGAGCAAUUGCGCCAAAAGAGAUUCCGCCUGCAACUCCUCCCUAAAAUCACAAGCAUAAUCCUAAUGUGUCUUGUGCAUUUCAUGUCGGAUACAUAGGGCAUUCUACAGAGGAUUGUUUGGUCCUCAAGACCAUAGUACAAGAGUUAAUUGAUCAUAAGGUUUUGUAAUUCUCUGAGGCAGGACCCAAUGUCAUAACCAACCUAUUGCCAGACCACUGUGGACAGAUAGUGAAUGCAGUUUAUGGCGAAGAUUCCUCAGAUUCAGUUGAUUCUUCAGAGAAGUACUGAUGCUAGCAAUAUCAUAUUGAUUCAAUCAUGUAUCAUUUGUAAUCUUUUCUUGUUUGUUAAUUGUUGUUCAUUUGUAAAACUUGUCUGGUUUUUCAGAUGAUAAUAAUAAUGAAAUAAGCGUGCAUGUUUUGCUUAAAUCCAUUCGUGUUCACUCAUAUUUUAUUUUAUCAGUAUCAAAUUGUUUGUCGAACAAAAUCAAAAGAGAAUGAUGAAAUUAAAAAUAUGCAAGAUCGCUGUUUGUAUGCUUUUGAAUAAGAUCAUGUUGAUGAUGCAAGGCAUUGUUCAAUCCCUAAACACCGGAGAUAUAAGGAAGAUAAUCCCUAGUCAACCCAUUUGGAUGUUGUAGUAGGAGUUUCUUUCUUUAACACAUAAAAUCCUCAUGCUUAACUAGGGGCAGGGUAUUCUUCAUUUAGUUUAGACUUGCAUUCAAAUUUCAGAAGGAGAAUAUCUCAUCCAGUGAUCAAUCAUAUCAUAUCCCUCUCAAGAGGAUGGAAUCACAAAUCCAGGAUGGUUAUCCCUUACCAUUCAAAAGGAGUGAGAUAGUCACGACCCAUGCAACAAAUCAAGAAAGUCGUGUCACACGGUUUUCUCUAGUACAAAAAGAAAAGAUGAAAAAAUUAAAAGUCCGCUAAGUCAAAAACUUGAAAACAAGAUUGACUUAUAUGUGUGUGUUUGGGGUGAGUCUGGAGAUGCACCUUCGAACUUCGAAAUGUGUGAGCUUUUUUGUAUUUUUCAUCUCAUGCCCUAGUAAUAUAUAUGGUGCAUUAAAAAAUAUCCAUAAAUUAAGGGAUUUGGUUAACACACUCUUAGGAUUGUUUUUCGACCCUUGUGAAAAAUCAAAACUACCUUUAGAAUUCAGAAAUAAAUCUUUGGACGCACCUCAAACACACACACAAUCAAUUCAUUUUUGAGUCAUGAAGUUAAUUAGGAAAUGCAUCUCCUUAAAUAUUAACGGGGGUGUAUUUUCCAAACCUAUUGAACCACACAGAAUUGCAUAAACCAAACAGAUGCAGAAAUAAAGAUAAAUCACAUUGAUAACAUGAAAAAUGAAAUAUUACAUAGAUAAUCGUUAACAUAAAUCGAACUUUGCAUUUGAACAUCAAGAUGGACGUUUCAACAUAUUUAUAAUAUCUUUUAUCGAUCUCGCAAUCAUCGCAUCCAACUUGAUCAAACAUUUUAUUUCGUAACGGUUAAAUGUAUUUCACAUAACUCUUAAAUCCGCAUCCGUCUUCAGCUUAAAGUUGUUGAACUGAAUCUACCAUUCAUUAUCAACCGAGAGUGAACCUUACUUGAGUUUCACAAUUCUUCAAUGAACUUAAAUGCAAUUGAGGACUCCGCGUAGUUGAGUCAUAUUUCAUGGAGACUCAUAAUGCGUCCAAAAAUGCAUUUCCAAAAUUUUAGUGGCAUUUUUAAAUUUUUAUAGGAUGGUUUUCCAGCACUUAUGUAGAGAUAAACAAUUUCCUUAUUAAAGGUCUCUGAGAGGAAUUGAAAUAAAUAUAUUUAAAAAAUUAGUAUUAUACUUAUUUAAGGAAUAAAGUUUUCUAACCAAAAAUUUUUCCCUAAUUUUUUUGUGCCUAAUUUUUUUGCUAACAAAAUAGAGACCUGAUUAUAUUUCACUAAUUUUCAUUCAUCUCUCAAUUAAUAUCUCUCAUAACCCUCAUUAACUCUCAAUUAAUGUAAUUCAUAUCAAUUAAUUGUUUUUUGAAAAUUUUGUAUCCGGCUUCGGACCAACUAGUUUAGUGAAUUGCUAAUUUCAUCUUUAAGUGUUGGAAAAAUACCUUAUAAAAAUUUGAAAAUACUCUUCUGAUUCCAAAAAUGCAUCUUCGGACGCAACUUGCACCUCACCAAAACACGCUUCAACUUGUUGAUGUUUUUUAUGUAAUUCAAGUGGUGUAACUGGUUACCUCAUGUGGUGUAAACGGUUACCACUAAAGUUGAUUUAAUUCAAUAUCAGAUGUAACCGAUUAUCCACUUUUGUGUAACGAUUACAAGCUUAAUAUUUUGAUUUUUUCUGAUAUUUUACUUGGUCAAUUCAGUUCCCAAUUGUGUUGUAUCUCUUGUAUAAGUGUUUAGAAUGUACACUCAUCUAAGGUUAAUGCAAUAAUAAUCUCUCAUCCUCAAUUCUCCUCUUUCACACUCCACAUCCAAAGUAUCUCCACCAUUAUUCACCAAACUUGUGGUGUCCUGUUCCAACAUUUGACAUCAAGAGUCUGGUUCAGAUCCACAAACACUUAGUGUGCAACAUGAAUUAUGUUUCCAAUGAAAAAAUCCCUCCAAACCUACCUAUCCUUGAUGCGAAGAAUUAUGAUAAAUGGUACAAGGAAAUGAAGAUGUUGUUUGGCUACCAAGAUGUUCUUACAGUAACUCUUAAGAGAAAAUAGUUGUCCCUGACCUACUUUGAGUCUCCGUAGGGAAAUUGGACUGGCAAAGAGGGUAGAAGGAGGAAACUACUCAAGUGAGCUUGAAGCAACAAAGGCAGUGAGUUUAGUUCCCACGCGGGGAAGAACGUUUAUAACAAGAGCCAGGAAGAUAAAUUAUUUUAUAAUACCUUCUCAAAAGUAAAAUGAGCUAUGAGAAAGAGCAAGAAUCUCAAGCGAUUGGCUGAACUUAACCUAGCUCGAGCUACAUGGCGGUUGAUCAAGGGAUACCGGAAAGAGGCAAACAACAGAACCUCCGGGUUUGAAGCUUUUCAUGUCGGGGCGAGGUCAAUCAAGGGUUUUGGGUCAGUGAAAGCUCGAGUGCCCCCUUCAAAAGUAAGGUGUCGGGAAUGCAACCAGUGAGGUGACCCGUUCCGUUAGGGCGGAUGAAAGAAGUUAUCCUGAAGCAGCGUCAAAGGCCUCUGUAGGCCCUUCAACAGGAUUUUUUGUCGUGUAGCAUUCUGUUUUGGCUACUCACGAAACUCUUUAUCCUUAAUAGGAAGAACUCCCUUUAGAGGAAGGAUACAAAGACCAAGCCUGUCUUUCUCUCUUAAAAAGGGCAUAUGGGGCAGGGCAGAAAGACUAUUUUAGGGGACUAAUCUGCUAAUGAAUGAAGGAAGGAGAAGGCCUUAAUUGUCUAUCCAAAGGUCCGCCUUGGGUGGAUUUAGGCGAAUCAAGUGGGUGGGAAUGAUCCGAGCCCCCUAUGUAAAUUUCAGUAAGGUAACUAAGGUUUACAAUAAUUCAUUUCAGUAGUGCGUUACCUUGCAGCUCUAUCUAUCGGGUAGUCAGUCUCUUGGUCAAAAGCCGGUACCUAAUUCCCCUGCUGGUGGGCCGAUCCUCGUCUAGCGGUGGGAACCGGCUGGUAUGGAUCAAUUGCUUGCCCUGUCUCUCUUCUGUUCAACCAUCGAGAAUCCGCAGUUAUCUUUGCUCAUUGGGUGGGCGAAGGAAUCCUUUCUAUUGAAUAAGGGCUUUGAGAAGCAGGCCAUUCCGUUCCAGUUAGCACCGUAUCCCGCUUUUCCGAUAGCAAAGGGCCUUCUAAUUAGCGUGCUUUGCUUAACCCGGCAAGAUCCGAGAUCAGACCUAGUCCUGCUGACCCGCUACCCUUGAAAACAUACUUUUUGCCACCUUACGACUGGUGUGAAGGAACUUAUUGCACAUAUUUAACAUGGGGAAGGAAAGAGGAGGGAAUAAAGCAUAUUUUAGGCAUCGANUUAAGAAAUGUCCAUGAAUUAAGGGAUUUGGUUAACGCACUCUUAGGGUUGUUUUUCGACCCUCGUGAAAAAUCAAAACUACCUUUAGAAUUCAGAAAUAAAUCUUUGGACGCACCUCAAACACACAUAAUCUGUUCAUUUUGUAGUCAUGAAUUUAAUUCGGAAAUGCAUCUCCUUAAAUAUUUAUGGAGGUGUAUUUUCAGAACCUACUUAACCACAAAGAAUUUCAUAAACCAAACAGAUGCAGAAACAAAGAUAAAUCACAUUGAUAACAUUGAAAAAUGAAAUAUUACAUAGAUAAUCGUUAACAUAAAUCGAACAUUAUAUUUGAACAUUAAGAUGGACGUUUCAACAUCUUUAUAAUAUCUUUUAUCGAUCUCGCAAUCAUCGCAUCCAACUUGAUCAAAUAUUUUGUUUCGUAACGGUUAAAUGUAUUUCAGAUAACUCUUAAAUCUGCAUUCGUCUUCAGCUUAAAAUUGUUGAAAUGAAUCUUCGAUUCAUUAUCAAUCGAGAGUGAACCGUACUUGAGUUUUGUAAGAACAAAAAUAGUUCUACAAUAGAUUCCAUGAUUUUGAUGAUAACAAAGGAUGAAACCAAAAAUGGCACCCUAACGAAAAGUUUCUAAGUGUGCAGGGUUCUAAAGAAAGAAGAAAUAAAUCUGAUGAUGUCAUCAGAUGCAAAACAAGAUCAGAUGUAAAAUCUCAAGUAUCAGAAGCAUCUAAAGAGGAAUCUCAUUCAAGAAGCUCUGACUCUGGACAAAACUACAAAGUAUCAGAAGCAUCUGAACAUGAAGUAAAGUCUAGAAGCUCUGACUCUGAACAAAUGCCUUCUGUAAAUUCUGAAGUUAUCAGCGCCAUCUGAACUUUCAAGAGAUAACAUCAGAAGCCAGUUUCUCCAGAUACACAAAGACUCUAAUCAGAAUUGUUAAUCAUGAUGAAGUAACGUUUAAGCCAAGUUAAAGUUCUGCAAAUGGAUUUCCUCAAUUAGAAAGAGACGUUAAUCUCCACUUCCAAGAGAGAAGAUACUAAUUGUGGUAAGUAGUCACUUCUAAGAGAAAAAGUCUACUGCAGAAGCUAUUAAUGGAAUGGCGUAACUACAUCUCAAUAUCCAACAGAUUCAACGCUACUUCAACUCUACUUCAACUCCUAUAAAUAGAGAAGAAAUCUCAUUCAGUAAGAAAGAAAUCACUAGCCAAAACUAUACUGAAAUUAUAUCACGCUCAAGAAAAACAUCUUUGUUCUUCAAAGAUUUUCACUAAGCUUUUGCUUAUCAAGUGAAAAAUUUGUUCUUAAGUUUGUAAUAUUUGCUUUCUUAGAAGCACUCUAGAUUACACAUCUUGUAUCUAAUUUUUAUUUGAUUUCCUCAAGUGACUCUUUGUAGUCUGUAGACUUGAGAGGACUAAGAGAUUUUCUUCUCUCUUAGGGGUUGUUUGUAAUCUUUCAAGAUUAGUGGAUUAAGUCCUUGUUGAAGGCGAAAUCACCUUGGCCGGGUGGACUGGAGUAGCUUUGUGUUAUAAGCGAACCAGUAUAAAAUCAUUGUGUGAUUUUCUUUUGCAAAAGCGCUUAUUUUUCAAACAAUUCAAACCCCCCCUUUCUUGUUUUUCUCACCUUCAAUUGGUAUCAGAGCUCCGGCUCUGUUAUUGAUUUUCAAAUCAAACACUUAACCGUGUAGAGAGAUCCAGUGCGAGAAAAACAAAUGGCCCACUCAAAUGAGAAAGAUUCUUACAAUGCCAAGCCUCCUGUUUUUGAUGGAGAAAAGUUUGAUUACUGGAAAGAUAGAAUCGAAAGUUUCUUUCUGGGUUAUGAUGCUGACCUCUGGGACAUUGUCACAGAUGGAUACAAACCUCCAACCUUAAAUGGAGCUGAAGUUCCCAGAAGCAAAAUGUCAGAAGAUCAGAAACGUGAGUUCAAAAAUCAUCACAAGGCCAGAACAAUACUUCUAAAUGCUAUAUCAUACAACGAAUACGAAAAGAUCACCAACAGAGAGACGGCUAAAGAUAUACUUGACUCUCUGAAGAUGACCCAUGAAGGAAACUCCCAAGUCAAGGAGACGAAGGCUCUGGCGUUGAUCCAGAAAUAUGAAGCCUUCAAGAUGGAAGAUGACGAAGCUAUAGAAGCUAUGUUUUCCAGAUUCCAAACUCUUAUUGCAGGUCUUAAAGUGCUAGACAAAGGAUACACGACUGCAGAUCAUGUUAAGAAGAUUGUCAGAAGUCUGCCAAAGAAAUGGAGACCUAUGGUUACUGCUCUGAAGUUAUCAAAGGAUCUGAACAGUAUCAGCCUUGAAGAACUUGUUAGUUCUCUCAGAAGCCAUGAGAUAGAACUAGAGGAGGAUGAGCCUCAGAAAAGGAACAAGUCAGUGGCGCUGAAGUCCAGACCUGAAAGACGGAAGUCAGACAGAACCAAAGCUCUCCAGGCAGAAACUGCAGAUACUGACGACUCUGAACCUGAAGACUCUGAUGAUGAAGAAGAACUGUCCUUACUAACCAGAAGAGUUAAGCAACUCUGGAAAAGAAGGAACAACAACAACUUCAGAAGAUCAAGACCCAGAGGGGAUAGAUCAGAGUCAACUUCAAAAGGUAAACCUAAUAAAGAUAUUACCUGUUUUGAAUGUAAAGAAACAGGUCAUUAUAGAAAUGAAUGCCCCAAGCUGAAGAAAGAUAACUCUAAGAAAGAAAGCUUCAAGAAAAAUGCCUUCAGAACAAAGAAGGGAUUAAUGGCCACCUGGGACGAUAGUGAAUCAGGAUCAUCAGAAUCUGACUCUGAUGAACAAGCCAACGUAGCAUUUAUGGCUACCACAUCCAGCAGCUCAGAUGAAGAAUCUGAAGAGGUAUUUUCUGAACUUUCUAGAUCUGACUUAGAAUCAUGUUUAUCAGAAACUCUUACCUCUCUUCAGAAAUUAAAACAAAAAGUUAAAAGCAUUAAAGGCCUUCUUAAAGCAAAAUCUGAAGAAUGUAGUGAACUUGAGACAACAAUUCUAGCACAUGAAGAUACAAUCAAAUCUUUAACGUUAGAAAGAGAUGGAGCUAAAACAAAAAGCUUAAAAUUAGAAGAAGCGUUGUCUCAAGCACCACAAACUUCAAAUGAAAUUAUUUAUAAAUAUGAAGAAGCCUUUCAGAAGUUUCUGAAGAGUGGAAUAGAUAGGAGUAUUAUGGCAUCCAUGAUUUAUGGAGUAAGUCAGAAUAAUAAAAGGGGAAUUGGGUAUGAUUCUGAUUCUGAUAAAACUUCUACCAGUAACCAAAUUAAAUCACCUUUUUCAUACCACUAUACACACACACAAGAACACAAAUUUAAAAAUGCUAGAAGACCCAAAGUUGUAAGAAACUCUGGGAAAACUAAUCUGAAAGGACCCAAGAGAUUCUGGGUACCGAAAGAUAAGAUUAUCUAUGUUGCAGAUAUCCUAUGCAGCAAAGUUCAGACACCAGUCAUGGUACCUGGACUCUGGAUGCUCGCGACAUAUGACGGGAAGAAAGUCUAUGUUCCAAAGCCUGGAACUUAAAGACGCUGGCUUUGUAGGCUUCGGAGGAGAUCAGAAAGGAAGGAUCAGAGGCUCCGGAACUAUUGGUAAUGGUACUCUUCCCUCUAUAUCUGAUGUUCUUUAUGUAGAAGGAUUAAUGCAUAACUUGUUAUCCAUAAGUCAAUUAAGUGAUAACGGUUAUGAUGUAAUCUUUAAUCAAAAAACGUGUAAAGCCAUUAAUCAGAACGAUGGCUCUGUCCUUUUCACAGGCAAGAGGAAAAACAACAUUUAUAAAAUAAAUCUUUCUGAUUUAAAAGAUCAAAAUGUUAAAUGUUUAAUGUCAGUUCACGAAGAGCAAUGGGUAUGGCAUAGACGCUUAGGCCACAUUAGCAUGAGAAAACUUUCUCAGCUAACUAAACUUGAGUUAGUCAGAGGCUUACCUAAACUGAAGUUUUCUUCAGAUGCUCUGUGUGAAGCUUGUCAGAAAGGAAAGUUUUCAAAAACAUCUUUUAAAAAGAAAAAUGUUGUUUCUACCUCCAAGCCUCUGGAGCUUCUUCACAUUGACUUAUUUGGUCCUGUGAAAACAGCAUCAGUCAAUGGAAAGAAGUAUGGACUAGUAAUCGUUGAUGAUUACAGCCGCUGGACAUGGGUAAAAUUCCUAAAGCACAAGAGUGAGUCUCACUCUGUAUUCACCAGUUUCUGUUCUAAAGUGCAAAAAGAAUUUGACUCUAAAAUUGUUAGAGUCAGAAGUGAUCAUGGUGGAGAAUUUGAAAAUAAAGAUUUUGAAGAAUUAUUUGAUUCUAAUGGAAUAUCCCAUGAUUUCUCCUGCCCUAGAACUCCACAACAAAAUGGAGUUGUAGAGAGGAAGAAUAGGACACUCCAAGAAAUGGCCAGAACCAUGAUCAAUGAAACAAAUGUAGCAAAGCACUUUUGGGCAGAAGCUGUAAAUACAGCGUGUUACAUUCAGAAUAGAAUCUCUAUUAGACCUAUUCUGGAUAAGACUCCCUAUGAACUGUGUAAGGGAAGAAAACCCAACAUUUCAUAUUUUCAUCCUUUUGGAUGCAUUUGCUUUAUAUUAAAUACUAAAGAACAUCUGAACAAGUUUGAUUCCAAAGCACAGAAAGGUAUUAUGUUAGGAUACUCAGAACGCUCUAAAGGCUACAGAGUAUACAACACAGAAACCAAAAUUGUGGAGGAAUCAAUUCAUGUUAGAUUUGAUGAUAAGCUUGACCCUGAAAAGUCAAAGCUAGUUGAAAAGUUUGCAGAUUUAGAGAUCACUCUGGUAGAAUCUGAGAAAACUCCAGAAGCAACUGUCACUCCAGACUCUGAAGAAAUUAAAUCUCCAGAAAUUCCAAGGAAAGUCAAGAGUCGUAGCAACGUAUCUGAAGAUUUGAUUUUGGGAAACAAAGAUGAACCUGUUAGAACCAGAUCUACCUUCAGAACUUCUGAAGAUAUUCCUCUGGGACUAGUGUCUCUGAUUGAGCCUACGUCCUGUGAUGAAGCUCUUCAAGAUAACGAUUGGGUGGCAGCUAUGCAAGAAGAGUUAGAUCAAUUCUCCAAGAAUGAUGUCUGGGAUCUCGUUCCUAAACCCAGAGGCACUCAUGUCAUUGGAACCAGAUGGGUUUUCAGAAACAAACUGAACGAGAAAGGAGAAGUUGUCAGAAACAAAGCACGACUGGUAGCUCAAGGUUAUAGUCAACAAGAAGGUAUUGAUUAUAAUGAAACUUUUGCUCCAGUCGCAAGGUUAGAAUCUAUUCGUCUUCUUGUAUCUUUUGCUAUUAAUCACUCUAUCAAAUUAUACCAAAUGGAUGUCAAGAGUGCAUUUCUUAAUGGUUAUAUUUCAGAAGAAGUGUAUGUCAAUCAACCUCCAGGUUUUGAAAAUUCAAACUUUCCAGAACAUGUUUUCAAACUUAAGAAAUCCUUAUAUGGACUUAAACAAGCUCCCAGAGCUUGGUAUGAACGCUUAAGUAAUUUUCUUCUGGAACAAAAUUUUAUCAGAGGGAAAGUUGAUUCUACACUCUUCUGUAAAAAUCAUAAAAAUGAUCUCAUGAUAUGCCAAAUUUAUGUUGAUGACAUUAUUUUUGGUUCUGCUAAUAUCUCUGUUUGCCAAGAAUUUUCUAAGUUAAUGCAGGCAGAAUUUGAAAUGAGUCUAAUGCAAGAACUAAAGUUCUUUCUGGGAAUUCAAAUUAAUCAAACUCCAGAAGUCACGUACAUUCAUCAAAGCAAGUACAUUAAAGACGUUCUGAAGAAGUUUGAUAUGUCUGAAUGCAACUCUGCAAAGACUCCUAUGCACCCAACUUGCAUUCUGGAAAAGGAAGAGGUAAGCAACAAGGUUUGUCAGAAGCUCUAUCGAGGUAUGAUAGGCUCUCUUCUCUAUCUGACUGCUACUCGUCCUGAUAUUCUCUUUAGCGUCUGUCUUUGUGCCAGAUUCCAAUCAGAUCCUAGAGAAUCUCAUUUAACAGCUGUUAAGAGAAUUCUUAAGUAUCUGAAAGGAACUCCUAACCUGGGCCUGAUGUAUGAGAAAACAUCAGAGUAUAGGCUUUCUGGUUAUUGUGAUGCAGAUUAUGCAGGAGAUAGAAUAGAACGAAAAAGCACAUCUGGAAAUUGCCAGCUUCUGGGAAACAAUCUAAUCUCCUGGGCUAGCAAAAGACAGUCAACUAUCGCUCUAUCAACUGCAGAAGCAGAAUAUAUCUCAGCAUCACUGUGCACAACUCAGAUGCUCUGGAUGAAACAUCAGCUAGAAGAUCUUCAAAUCUUUGAGAGUAACAUUCCUAUCCUUUGUGAUAAUACUGCUGCUAUUUGUUUGAGUAAGAAUCCUAUUUUACAUUCCAGAGCCAAACACAUAGAAAUUAAACAUCAUUUUAUUAGAGACUAUGUUCAGAAAGGAAUAGUAACGCUGAAGUUCAUUGAUACAGAACAUCAAUGGGCAGAUAUCUUUACUAAGCCUCUAGCUGAAGAUAGAUUUCUUUUCAUCUUAGAAAAUCUGAACAUUAAAAAUUGUCCUGAGUAAAAUUUGGCUCUGAACAUGUAAAAUGAGACUCUGAUAAAAACAAAUACACUUCUGCCUCUGACUCUGAUACUUCUACCAAGUUAAGAAGAUAUCUGAGUUAGAAAUCUUCAGAAAUCCUUUGGUAUUCCUGAAGAUCAGAUACAUCAACACGUGGGGAACAUGCGUCUAACCCUAGAACUUCUAGACAGCUGUCAAAAGAAAUCAAAGGUCAGAACGCUUGAAAUCUCCUCGAGCAGUGUGCUUACUGUUGGGAUUAGACAUUCAUUAAUUAGCUAUAAUCAUUUUUCCCCCAAACGUGCUAUUUUGGUUUUUGUGCUAACGCUGGUAUGUGUGUCGUUUUGCAUGUGUUUUUACCCUUAGUAUAUAAACACUUUCUCUCACUUUUCACACUUAUCACUCUCACUCACUCUAAAACCCUAAACCCUUCUCUGAAAGUUCUCUGCAAGUUCUUCAUCUUCUUCAAUCUCCAUCAUCUUCAUCAACAUGGACGCUCAACAACAAGAACUCUUCAACCAUUCUCAACAAGUGGAAUCUAGUUCCAAUCCCCAAACCUCAAACACUCAAACACCCACGGUUAUAAGCGUCACCACAACCCCAGUUUACAAAGAACCUCACAUUCUUGACCGUGAACAACACAUUCAUCUUUCAACUCCCUUUGAAGGUUUGGAUGUACUGUGUGAAUCGCUGGUGGAUUUUGAGAAUUUGAGAAGAAAUGGCGUUGAUUUAACUGAAGAUCUUCGCAAGCAAGGUUGGGAAACCUACUUCAACAGAUUGUAUGGUCCAAUCUAUCCUCUUCUGGUGAAAGAAUUCUGGAGAUGUGCAGAUGCUGAUGAUGAGUUCAUUGUUUCUUUUGUUCUGGGAGUGAAGAUCAUCAUCACAGAAGCAUCUAUUGCCUCUUUGCUGAACAUGGAGAGAACUGGAGGUAAAAGGAUUUACAACAUUCCUCCAAGGUCCAAGCGCAUCACAGAAGUCAUUAACCCUACAAUCUUCAAAGCAAAUGUUGAAGGAAACCCAUCUAAGAACAAGGAGCUUCAUCAGAACCUCCGAGUUUGGCUGAAGAUUAUUCUGGGAACAAUCCAUCAUCGUCCAGCCUCCAACUCUUCAGAUUAUAUAAAUGCUGAUCAGAAAUGCAUCCUCUACUGUAUUCAGAAGGGUAUUCCAAUCAACCUCCCUGUUCUCCUCUUCAGAUAUCUGAGGGAUUCAGUCAGAGAAACAAGGAAUAAUAUGAAGCCCAGAUCCUACAUUCCUCUGGGAAGAUUGCUCUCUGACAUCUUCAUUGAGCAUGGGCUGGUAGAUGCUCUGGAGAAGACCAGAUGUAUGGAUGAUCUGGCAAUUGACGUUGGAAAGCCUCUGAAUGCCAAAAAUCUGAGGAGUAUGGGAAUCAUCAAAGACAUCAGAGUCAAGCCCACUAUGAAUGUAACCUGGGAAGCUCUGAAGGAUCAGAGGAAGAUGCCUCAUGGCCUUGAAAGGUUCUUCAAGAAUGAACCCAGAGAUGCCAUUGCUAUCUACCUUCAGGAUCGUCUGGAUGAAGGCAUUGAUAUCUCUGAUUUCCGCCUUGAAGACUGUCUGGACUCUGUAGAAGAUCUGGUCAGAUACAAAAGAGGUCUUUCUGAGAAGAAGAUAGCUGAGGAAGCAAGGAAGGCAAAGAAAGCCAGACUUGGAGAAACCUCUGGCACCAAAGCUUCAGCACCUCUGAAUGUCUCCUCUGGUAAGUCCAUUCCUCCUGUCUCUUCUGAAUCUGUAAUGGCUUCCUCUAACCCUCUCUCCUCUCAACCAAUAUAUACCACCGCUGAAAUACCACCUUCAACCAUCAGAACCUCUCAACCUCCACCUGUUCUAAAAAUUGCUCGUAAUUUCACAACAACCUCUGACCCUAAUCAACUAUAUCACCACAGCUCUUCCUCAUCCUCUGAAUAUGAAUCACCCCCUUACCUUUCCCCUUCUUCUGACCAAGAGUUCUCUGAACAAGAGUCCUCUGACCAAGAACACUCUGACCCAAACUCCCCAACAAUAGCUGAAAUUUAUGCUAAAAAUUUCGCUCCACAACCCUCAAGACAAUCUGAAGUAACCUCUCCCCUCCAAACUUCACUUCCACCACAACAAACAACAACCUUACCCUCUGAAACUCAACCAUCUGAUCCCUUCACCUCUAAUAUCACUCCACCAUUUAUUCCCGCUGUACCUGGACCAGACUCUGACCCUUUAGACCUAAAUCCACUAUAUGCUUCAUCCCCUAGUCUUCAACCAGACGCAGAUUCUGAACUUCAAGCAGAAUCUGAACCUCAACAAACUGAACCUCAACCUCUAAAUCUCAGCCCUCAAAACUCUCCACCUCAUUCACCUGAACCUGAACCUGAACUUACCAUACCUACCCUUGAGGAGGCCAUUAUACAGGUUGCAGAAGCUUCAGUCCAGAAGAUCAAGUCUCUGGCUAAAAACUCUGAAGUUAGUGAUGAUCCUAAAUCUGUUAGGACACACUGGAACAGAGUCAUUAGUUGGAUGACCUCUGAGUCUUAUAGGCUGAAGAGUAUCUCUGAACAAGUCAGAAAUGGCUACAUCAGAGACUCUGAGGAAAGACUCCAAGAGAGACUGGCUAGAGAAGCUGAGGCCAGAAGGUUAGAGGAAGAGAGACUGGCUAGAGAAGCUGAGGCCAAGAGAUUAGAGGAAGAAAGAUUGGCUAGGGAAGCUGAAGAAGAAGCUAAGAGGUUGGAAGAAGAACGCCUGGCAAAGGAAGCAGAACUUCUAAGGAUUCAGGAAGCUGAAGCCAAGGCUAAGGCAGAUGCAGAAGCCCAAGCUGCUGCUGAAGCUGAAGCUCAGCAGGCUCUGAUUCAGGGGGAGUCUUCCUCUGCGAUCCCUCUGAUUCUUAACACUCUGAAGGAGAUCAAGCAAGAUCAGAAAGAGAUCAAGCAAGAUCAGAGUGAGCUCCGGGCAAGGAUGGACAAGCAAGACGCUCUGAAUGAAAACCUCCAGAAUAUGUUUGCUAUGCUACUACAGAGACUUCCUCCUCCUCCAAACCCUUAGGCACUUAGGAUUUCUUUUGUUUGCCUAGUGUUUUUGCUUCUGUCUUUUCUUUUUUUUCUCUGAUAUUUCUGUUGAAUCUGAUGUUUUGACUGCUGCUUGCCUUUGUGCUUUUGUUUAAUGAAGUGUUUUUCUCUCUAUUAUUUUUUUUAUGUUUUAUGCCUUUUUGAUUAUGCCAAAAAGGGGGAGAAAUUAUUAAAUAGCUCUGAUGAAAAUUAUGUCUAAAACCUUAAGCAUUCUGCAACAAUUAUAGAAAUAGUUCUGAUAUAAAUAGCUCUGAUUAAAUAAUAGCUCUGAUUAAAUAACUCUAACAUUAAAAUUAAGAAAUUGCAGAAAGUUUUCAGAAAUCUCAUUGCUUGGAAAGCUCUGGUAAGAACUUCUGAACUCCCUAGUACUAACUCAGGGGGAGCUUUUGUCUAUCUGAUCUAAUAUUUUUCAUGUUUCAUCUGAUAAUUUUAUUUGUUUUGUCAUCAUCAAAAAGGGGGAGAUUGUAAGAACAAAAAUUGUUCUACAACAGAUUCCAUGAUUUUGAUGAUAACAAAGGAUGAAACCAAAAAUGGCACCCUAACGAAAAGUUUCUAAGUGUGCAGGGUUCUAAAGAAAGAAGAAAUAAAUCUGAUGAUGUCAUCAGAUGCAAAACAAGAUCAGAUGCAAAAUCUCAAGUAUCAGAAGCAUCUAAAGAGGAAUCUCGUUUCAAGAAGCUCUGACUCUGGACAAAACUACAAAGUAUCAGAAGCAUCUGAACAUGAAGUAAAGUCUAGAAGCUCUGACUCUGAACAAAUGCCUUCUGUAAAUUCUGAAGUUAUCAGCGCCAUCUGAACUUUCAAGAGAUAACAUCAGAAGCCAGUUUCUCCAGAUACACAAAGACUCUAAUCAGAAUUGUUAAUCAUGAUGAAGUAACGUUUAAGCCAAGUUAAAGUUCUGCAAAUGGAUUUCCUCAAUUAGAAAGAGACGUUAAUCUCCACUUCCAAGAGAGAAGAUACUAAUUGUGGUAAGUAGUCACUUCUAAGAGAAAAAGUCUACUGCAGAAGCUAUUAAUGGAAUGGCGUAACUACAUCUCAAUAUCCAACAGAUUCAACGCUACUUCAACUCUACUUCAACUCCUAUAAAUAGAGAAGAAAUCUCAUUCAGUAAACACGAAGAAAUCACUAGCCAAAACUAUACUGAAAUCAUAUCACGCUCAAGAAAAACAUCUUUGUUCUUCAAAGAUUUUCACUAAGCUUUUGCUUAUCAAGUGAAAAAUUUGUUCUUAAGUUUGUAAUAUUUGCUUUCUUAGAAGCACUCUAGAUUACACAUCUUGUAUCUAAUUUUUAUUUGAUUUCCUCAAGUGACUCUUUGUAGUCUGUAGACUUGAGAGGACUAAGAGAUUUUCUUCUCUCUUAGGGGUUGUUUGUAAUCUUUCAAGAUUAGUGGAUUAAGUCCUUGUUGAAGGCGAAAUCACCUUGGCCGGGUGGACUGGAGUAGCUUUGUGUUAUAAGCGAACCAGUAUAAAAUCUUUGUGUGAUUUCAUUUUGCAAAAGCGCUUAUUUUUCAAACAAUUCAAACCCCCCUUUCUUGUUUUUCUCACCUUCAAGUUUCACAAUUCUUUGAUGAACUAAAAUGCAAUUGAGGACUCCGCGUCUUUGAGUCAUAAAUCAUGGAGACUCAUAAUGCGUCCAAAAAUGCAUAUCCAAAAUUUAAGUGGCAUUUUCAAAUUUUUAUAGGAUGGUUUUCCAACACUUAUGUAGAGAUAAACAAUUUCGUAAUUAAAGGUCUCUAAGAGGAGUUGAAAUAAAUAUAUUUAAAAAAUUAGUAACAUAAUUAUUUAAGGAAUAAAGUUUUCUAACCAAAAGAAUUUUUCCCUAAUUUUUUUGUGCCUAAUUUAUUUUGCUAACAAAGUAAAGCCCUGAUUAUUGUUACUAAAUUUUAGUAAUUUUCAUUCAUCUCUCAAUUAAUAUCUCUUAUAAUCCUCAUUAACUCUCAAUUAAUGUAAUUCAUAUCUAUCAAAAAAAAUUGAAAAUUUUGUAUCUAGGCUUGGGACCAACUAGUUUAGUGAAUUGCUAAUUUCAUCUUAAGUGUUGGAAAUAUGCCCUAUAAAAUUUUGAAAAUACCCUUUUGAAUCCGAAAAUGCAUCUUCGAACGCACCUUACGCCUCACUAAAACACACCUCAACUUGUUGAUGUUUUUUAUGUAAUUCAAGUGAUGUAACCAGUUAUCUCGGGUAGGUAACCGGUUACAUAAAUGUCUAAAGUUCAAUCAAGUAGCAAAAAUGUGGAGUUUUUGAAGGUGUAACCGGUUAACCAUUUUGGUGUAAACGGUUACCACAAAAGCUGAUUUAAUUCAAUGUCAGGUGUAACCGAUUAUCCAUUUUUGUGUAACAUUACAAGCGUAAUAUUUUGAUUUUUCCUGCUAUUUUACUUGGUCAAUUCAGUUCCCAAUUGUGUUGUAUCUCUUGUAUAAGUGUUUAGAAUGCACACUCAUCUAAGGUUAAUGCAAUAAUAAUCUCUCCCCCUUAAUUCUCCUCUUUCACACUCCACAUCCAAAGUAUCUCCAUCAUUGUUCACCAAACUUGUGGUCUCUUGUUCCAAAAUUUGACAUCAAGAGUCUGGUUCAGAUCCACAAACACCUAGUGUGCAACAUGAAUUAUGUUUCCAAUGAAAGAAUUCCUGCAAACCUACCUAUCUUUGAUGCGAAGAAUUAGGAUAAACGGUGCAAGGAAAUGAAGAUGUUGUUUGGAUACCAAGAUGUUCUUAAAGUAAUCAAUAAGGAUGUUACUCCUCUUAUUCAAAAUGAAACAGAGGCGCAACAAGCAACACAUAAGGAAGAGAAGAAGAAAUAGUUCAAUGUGUUGAUGGCGAUGAUUUUAAGAAAGUUGAUGAUUGUGAAUCGUCAAAGUAAGCGUGAGAGAUCUUAGAGAAGGCAUGUGCAUGGGUUGACAAGGAAAAGGUGGUGAGGUUACAAACUCAUAAACGUCAGUUUGAAUUGAUUCAAAUGGAGGAAAAGGAGAUAAUCAAUGAUUUUGCAAUGAGAAUCACUCGGUUGGUGAAUCAAGUGAAGGCAUGCAAAGAAACUGUUACGGAGUUGUAUGUUGCUGCUAAAAUCUUGUGUUCUUUAACACCAAGAUUUAACAGUAUAGUUGUGGCAAUUGAUGAGUCAAAGGAUCCCGCGACGAUGAGCAAAGAGGAGUUGCAAAGUUCUCUUGAGGCUCAUGAGAAAAAGAUGGAAAAGAGGAAUAACGAUAAGGCAAAGGCGGAGAUUGCUUUGCAAGCUCGUUUCAAUGAGAAGGACAAGAGAUCGAAAGGAAAAUGGCCCAAGAAAAGAAAAGGGAAUUUUCAUAAUUUGGGUGGAAGAGAGUCCUAAAAUUCAAAUGAUUUGACUUGUCAAAGGGGUGAGAGCAGCUACAAUAAACAUGGUGGUCAAGGAAACUUUAGAGGUAGAAGGAAGAAGUUUGAUAAGAGCAAGGAGAUGUGCUAUAAGUGUCAAUGGUUCGUUCAUUUUGCAAAAAAAUACAAUGUGAACAAGAAAGAAUCUCAAGGGAUUAAACCAAGGUUGCAAGAUAAGAGUUUGAUGAAGAGAAUAUAAUUUUGGUCAUGAUCAAAGAAGGGAAUUAUAGCAGCAAACAACUGUGGGACAACAGCGGCAAUAAAUCAAAGAAUGCUAAAAAGGUCGGUUGAAUGAUACGAUUAACCGAUCGCAUGAAGAGGAAGAUACCAUGAUGAGUUUGAAAGGAGUUCAAUGUAGUGAUGAGUGGUAUUUGGACUUGGGUUGUUCAGCUCAUAUGACAGGAAUAAAGGAUUGGUGUGUCAAAAUCAAUCGUGCCAUGAAGAAUAAACUAAAGUUUGCAGAUGAAACCACCCUAAUGAUCGAUGGGAUCGAUGAUGUUUUGAUCAUGAGAAGGGAUAAUGGACAUUACUUAAUCACAAAUUCUUGUACAUUUUUGGAAUCAAAUUUAACCUUCUAAGUAUUGGCCAAUUGCUUGAGAAGGAUUCCAAGAUUCACAUGGAAGACAAUGGGUUGUGCGUUAUGGAUAUAAGAGGAGGCUUGGUCCUUAAAGCGCAUAUGGCUGCCAAUAGAACCUUUAAGGUUGAGUUGAAGGUUAUAGAGUAUAAAUGUCUUGCUACUACAUCAAGUAGACAACAGUGGAUAUGGCACUAUCGUCUUAGACAUCUCAAUUUUAGAGAUCUCAAAGACUUUCAAAAGAACAUAAUGGUAACAGGGCUGCCAUUGAUCAACAUACUAGCUGAAAUUUGUGAAGAAUGUGUGCAAGUGAAGCAACAUAAGGGAAAAUUGAGCAAGUAGACUCUAUUGGUGGAAAUAUGUAUUUUGUCACAUUUAUCGAUGAUCAUAGUACAAAACUAUGGACAUACCUAAUCAAGAUAGAUGACAAUGUAUUUCAUGAUCGUCCGUCAUUGCAUAUAUUUAGUCGAAGAAUCAGACAAAACAAGUGAAAGUUAAGAUAAAAUGAAGAAGAAUAAGGAAAAAAUAUCUAAGCAUGGAAACUGGGGACUUAUUGAAAUUUUGAGUAAAAAAGGGAGCAAAAGUGUGCAACCACUGGAAUAAUCAUGCGCACCAUCACGUAGCAUCGUGCACACAAUGGGGUCUUUAAAGUUGCAUCGCGCAUGCGAUACAAGGAAUCACGCGCGUGAUAAAUACUUUUUAUGGGCUUUUCAGACGCGUUCUGGUCCAUUCUAACGCCUUUAAAAGGGGAUUUUCUGAACUUUCACAAGAGUUACAAAAUUGGGAGAUCUAGGCACUACUUUGAGAGCACAAGUGGUGAUUUUUAUAACAUUAGAAGUUAUUGGAGACCAUUACUUCAACGUAUUUCACAUGUUAUUUUCAUCUAUCAAUUAUGAUAUUUUUAAUUGCAUUAUGAGUAGCUAAGCUCCUCUAGAUUAGGUUGUAUACUGAUGAACCUAUUUCUAUAUUGUUGGAAUCUAUGUUGAUUUAACAAUUGUGUGAACCUUUUGAACUAUAAUUCCAUUCAAUUGCUUCUUGUUCAUAAUGCUUUUUAUGUGAGAUGAUAUUUUAAUAUGAUUUUGGGAACAUAAGGAAUACUGACCAUUAGUCUAUGUGUUGGACCUAGGGAAAUUGUUGUACUUACGCUGGUUGAAUAGGAAUAGGAGACCCUGAGUAGUGGCGUAGAGAAUUAACGCUUUAUACAUCGCCUAACCCUGCUUACGCUGGAGGACUAAGGAUAAAAAGCUCUGAGUGGUGGUUAGUGAGUUAUUUCAUGAGGGAUCAACUAUAACAGUUUUGUUAAUUCGUCGUGGUGUUAUAGUGAUAAGACCAUUCGUACAAGACAUCAAACAUCAACAAUAGAGGAAUAUGAGAUUUUAAAACACAACUUGGCCGCUUUCGUGAUAUUGUUUAAUUGUUUAUUUACUUUUUGCACAGAAACUCAACCCCCCCCCCCCCNNNNNNNNNNNNNNNNNCCCCCCCCCCCCUUUACUAGUUUUUUAUAAAUUGCACACAUUUUGUCUUGCUUGAACGAAGUUCACGUGGAUUCGAUCUUUUUAUUACUUCGACGAUGUCAAUACACUUGUCGAGAAGUCAUCAAGUUUUUGGCGCUUUUGCCAGGGACUAUUAAUUUUUCAUCAAGGCGAUGUUUGUGCAAUUUUUUUUAGUCUUUAAAUUUUAUGUUUUAUUUUCUUGUUUCUCAAAAUGCUAUUGAGGUAUUUUCUAUUUGUGUAUGUACCGUUCAGGAUCAACAUUAAUACCAUUGGAUCCAAAAAUUGAAAGAAACGCACAUGCUCUCAGAAAAGCUGUUAGAGGAGCAACUCUGGAAAGAGGAAUACUAGAAGAAGAGUAAUUAUCAAGUUAGUCAUACUCUGAAGAUGAAGCUGUAAUGGCAGAUGCACAACCCCUAACUAUGGGGGAUUAUUAUAAAUGAACCGAUGAAGGACACUUCUCCAGAGGGUUUGUACCGGUAGACCCUUCUAACUUUGAUAUUAAAAAUUAUGUGCUUUAAGGUUUGAGAGAAAAUUUGUUCGGCAGGAACACGAUUAGAGACCUAUGGGUGCAUCUUACACACUUCUAUGAAACAACUUCAAUGUGAAAAUCAAUUGAUGCCACUGAAGACCAGGUUAAAUUGAGGUUGUUUGGGUUCUCACUAAUUGGAAGGGCGAAGAUUGGUUACUUUUCCUCCCGAAUGGAACGAUACGAACAUGAAAGGAAUUAGAGGAUAAAUCCCUGGAAAGAUUUUUCACUACUACUCAGUUUACCGAGCGCUAAGCAGAAAUUGUGAGGUUUGAGCAGUAGGAAAUUGAGUCACUUUAUGACUCUUGGGAAAGAUUCAAACUUUUGUUACGCAGAUGCUCGAAUCACAACAUGAAUAAUAUAGAGCAGAUGCAAAACUUCAUUAAAGGUCUCAAAGUCAAACUCACGUAUUUUUGGAUGCUUCUACGAGAGGUACUAUCUGAAAAAUGAAUGAACCAUGGGUAAAAGAUAUCAUUGAGAAAAUGUGUAUAAUUGAGUACCGAUCCAAGAACGAAAGGUCGAUCAAGAUGGGAACUGUGGGCACGCCUAAAGGUAUGUUACCUAUUGAUACCCACAUUGCUCUUUUAGCUCAGAUUGAAUUAUUAAAUAAAAAGCAAGCUGGAAGAAGCUUAGUUAAAGCUAACGUAAGUCAGGUACAAGCACUUAAAAGCGAUUUAUAUGGAGGAUAACAUGCGAAUGGAAGUUGUUCAUUGGAAGGGACAAGUGAGGAGGUAAAAUUUUAUAAUUUUUAAAAAAAAUAACUUGUAUUCAAACACAUAUAAUCCGGGUUAAAAAGACCACCCAAAAUUCCUUUGGAAUAAUAAUCAAAAUUCAAAUGCUAACUAAGGGAUGCAACAAAGCCAACAAGCUCUGUUUCAAAGAAAUCCAUCACAAAUGGUAGAGACCUUGAAAAUUUUCAUUAAGGUCACUCAAAGUAGCUUUGCUAGGGUAAAUAAGACCCUUGAAGAAAUGAGUAGAAACUAGGAUGCGUCUAUCAAAAUUUUGGAGAUGAAGAUUGGUCAAUUAUCCAGACAAGUAGCUACUUUUCCAAGCUCAAGUGGAGGAUUCACCAGUAACAUUGUUGAUAACCCUAAGAAUGAUAACCCUAAAUAUAGGUUUAGGGGAAAUUACUGAAAAGGAUAAGGAGGAGAUAGUUAAAGAACGUGUGGUUAAGAUAGAUGAGGGUACAAAUCAAGGUGACCAAGAGGAAAGAGGAGACAUCAUUGAUCAACUUAUUGACAAAAAUUCUCCUCGGGGGAGAACAAAGAAGCAGAUCAUGACUGAACCAAAUCCUCCUUUACCAGAUCACGUAAAACCACCGUACCCAAUAAUUAAAAAGAAAGUGGUUUAAGAUGAUGAAGCGAGAAUGUUUGCAAAGUUCAAGGAAAUUCUAGCUACUCUCCGGGAAAGUAUUUCGUUCCAUGAAAUUUUAGAACUAAUGCCUAAGUUUGCUAAAUUUAUGAAGGCGUUACUAAAUGGGACGGAAGAGAAAAGGAUCAAGGAACAUGUAAACAUGACCGAAAAGAAUGAUAUGGUAAAACCUCAAUCCUUACAACCUAAACUAAAAGACUCAAGUAAAUUUAUGAAGGAGUUAUUAAAUGGGACGAAAGAGAAAAGGAUCAAGGAACAUGUAAACAUGACCGAAAAUGAUGAUAUAGUAAAACCUCAAUCCCUACAACCUAAACUAAAAGAAUUAGGUAAGUUUACUAUUUCCUAUAAUAUUAGUGGAUUCAAUAUUCUGCAUGCUCUAUGUGAUAUGGGAUCUAACAUAAAUGUCAUGCCACCGAAAACUGUCAAAGAAUUAAAAGUGGGUGAGAUCACACCGAGUAACAUGACUCUCAGUCUAGUUGAAUUGUCUAUUACUCAUUCAAUUGGUACUUUACGCGACAUAUUAGUACCUAUCGACGACUUAUUGUUUCCUAUAGAUUUUAUAGUGCAUGAUACAAAAGAAGAUUCGGGAGGAUCUAUUAUUCUUGGACAUCCAUUCUUGGCAAUCGGGAAAGCAAAAGAUUGAUGUGUAAACUGGUCAACUUAUCUUGAAGUCAAAUAAAAGGAAUGUGGUUUUCAAGGUAUAUGACUGGACACCUUAUGUGGAUAAUUUGGAUACUUUCUACUAUCUGGAUGAAAAAGGUAGGAAAGUAGAUAAAGGAACAAUGAGAAAGAAAGUGACAGGCGUGAGGGUGUCCCUUGCGCCUGACGUACCUUAGACAUGGAUUAUCAAGCUAGUGAUGUUAAAAAAGUGUUUGAUGGGAGGCAACUCAUCAAUAAGAAUUUAUUUUUUUAUCAUAGUGAAUAUUAAUUUUUCUAACCUUGUUAAUUUUUGUGCUAUGUUAUUGGAAGAGAAAAUAGGUGAAAGAAGAAAAGAAAGAAAAAGCAAAAGGGAAGAAAAUAGAAAAAGAAAAGAGAGAGGAAAGUUUCAUCCCCCAGAAUCAUCACGUAUGAUAAUAUAAACUAGUUCUUUACAAUAAUAAAAUUUGAUAUUUAUUUAUACAAACACAAUUAUAUAAAGAGAAUAACACACAAAUCACACAUGAUAAUUUUAGAAUAAUUAUACUCUAAUAUUUUUUGAGUCGUGAUAUAUCCUCUUCUUAAAUAUUUGAAAGUUGAAUCUCUCUCACUAAUCUCUAUUCCCCUAUUUAUUUUAAGAAUAAACAUAUUGAAUUAAUAAAACAUAAUUGCACCUUUCUUAAAGGUUAUACAAACAACUACUAAAGUUGAAAAAACUAAAGAGAGGUCAACUCAAUCUUUAUCAAAUUAAAUUAAAGUUUAUUAUAAAACACAAACAACUAGUUCAUUCAAAUGAUAACUUGUUUAGUACACAAGUAAGAUCUUACUUAAUACAUAGAAAUAAGAUCUUACAGAAUAUAGAGAUUAAAAACAUAGGAAUAACAUGAAAAGCUUUUAAAAUGACAUAGACAUUGAUUAACAAAGAUAUGAACUAGUUUCGGGUAUUUCUUAACCAUCCGUCAAGGUAAACUUGUUUGGAGUCAGGGGUGGAUUUUGCUUUCUCGACUCGGAUAUCUUUCAACCAUCCAUCAAGGUAAACCUGGUUGUUGUCAGAGGUGGAUUUUACUGUCUCGGCUCGGAUAUCUUUCAACCAUCCAUCAAGGUAAACUUGUUUUGGAUCAGAGGUGGAUUUUGUUUUCUCUGCUCGGGUAUCUUUCAACCACCCAUCAAGGUAUACUUGGUUGGAGUCAGGGGUAGAUUUUAUUCUCUCGUUUCGAUAAUCUUUCAACCAUCCAUCAAGGUAAACUUGGUUGGAGUCAGACAUGGUUUCUGUUUGCUUUGCUCGAGUAUUUUUCAACCAUCCAUCAAGGUAAACUUGGUUGGAGUCAGAGGUAGAUUUUUCUUUCUCAGCUCGGGUAUCUUUUAACCAUCCAUCAAGGUAAACUUGUUUGGAGUCAAGAUUUUUCUUUCUCAGCUCGGGUAUCUUUUAACCAUCCAUCAAGGUAAACUUGUUUGGAGUCAGAGGUGGAUUUUGUUUUCUCUGCUCGGGUAUCUUUCAACCAUCCAUCAAGGUAAACUUGAUUGGUGUUAGGCAUGGACUUUUCUUUCUCAACUCUGAUAUUUUUCAACCAUCCAUCAAGAUAAACUUGGUUGGAGUCACUUGUAGAUUUUGUUUUCUCAACUCGGGUAUCUUUCAACCAUUCAUCAAGGUAAACUUGGUUGGAUUCAGAGGUGGAUUUUGCAUUCUCUGCUCUGGUAUCUUUCAACCAUCCAUCAAGGUAAACUUGGUUGGAGUUAGGUGUUGACUUUUCUUUCUCAACUCUGCUAUCUUUCAACCAUCCAUCAAGAUAAACUUGGUUGGUGUCACCUGUAGAUUUUGCUUUCUCAGCUCGAUUAUCUUUCAACCAUCCAUCAAGGUAAACUUGGUUGGAUUCAGAGGUGUCUUUUGCUUUCUUUGCUCUGGAAUCUUUCAACCAUCCAUCAAGAUAAACUUGAUCGGAGUUCUGGGAGGAUUUGGUUUUCUCUGAUCGUGUAUCUUUCAACCAUCCAUCAAGAUAAACUUGGUUAGAGUUAGCAAUGUGUUUUCGACUCUUCAAUGGAUUUUUGAGCCAACCAUCAAGGUAAGGUUGAUCAGCUUGUAUUUCUUGUACAUUCUCUUGCUGAAGUUUGAUAUAUCGGGCAAAGCUUCCUUGUCCAUUCUAUAAUACAAUUGAAUAAAUGGAUAUUAGUGAGUUAUUUUUGGAUGGUAUAUAUGAUUACAAAAACAAAAUUAUGUGUUUUAUGAGACACAUUAUGUUACAUAAAUAAGACACAUUCAUUGUAUAUUUCAGAUGGAUAUAGAAUGCGAAAUAAAAAUCAAAGAAAAACAAUUUUUUAAAUUUCAUUGCCGCAUAGAAAAUAUUAUUUUGUCAAAUUAAAUAGAACAACUUGAUUAAGUGAAUGAUGAAAUCAAAUCAAAUAAAGAUGCAAAAUGAUAGAUUGUGAUAAAUAAAUGAUGAAAAAUAUAUGUGUAAAAGAUACAAGAAUGGAUGCAUAACUUACAAUCAAUAAGAGCAUGAUAAAAGGGAGGAGAGACAAAACAUCUUUGUUUGUCAUUUCUUUAAUGUUAUGAUUUUGUGGGAAAAUUGUUUUAAUGUAAAAAGAUGUAUUGAAAUGGAAGUGAAUUGUGCUAUUUAUAAGUGAAUGAAAAGAAAAACUACAUUAAGGACAUUGAGACUUUGGUUGGCAAGAUUAUUUUUUUAAAUAUUUAGUUUAAAUUAUUUUUUAAAUGUUUAGUUUAAUUGAUAAGUUUAUAUGUCUAAGAAAGAUCAAUUUACUAAGAUUUAUUAUUUACAAGAUCUAUUAGGUGUGUUGUUUUGAGUUAUAAAAAAUAUUAAAAAAAUUGUUUGUUUGAUAUAUUUUUUUAAUUAGAAGCUCCUAACUAAAUCCUCUUAGUUUAAAAUAAAUAAAUUUUAGAACUGCUACUGCAAUUAUUUUUAUUUUAAAAUUAAAAAUGAUUUUCUAAAAAUCCUUAAUAAAAACAUAUUAAAAUGACAAAGGUGAUUUUGUUAAAUGUUAAACAAACAUUUAUUUUGAUAAGUUAUUUCAAAUAACUUAAAAUUUCAUAAAUUUAUUUUAAUUUAUAAUUAAAGUGGUAAUUAUGAUAAUCUCGCCUCUUGAGUUCUAAUAUUUGAGCUAAUAGUAUAAAUAUGUUUUAGUUGAAUUAGAAUUUGCAUUAGUGAUAGUUUCAAUUUUACAAUUAAUUAGACUAAAAUAUUGAUGUUCGUCAUAUAUAUAUAUAUAUAUAUNUAUAUAUAUAUAUAUAUAUUAAAUAGUAAUUAUAUAUUAUAAAUUUUAAUUUUGGGAAAAAAAUAUUAUUUCAAUAUUUUAAAAUUUUAAUAAUUAUUGUUUUAUAAAAUUAAUUAUAAUGAGUAUAAUAUUUUAAUUUUAUUAUCAUCAAAUAUACCCUACAUCAAAAUUCACAAACUUUAAAUAUAAAUAUCGGGAUCCACUUAAUUGAAUUGGAAUUUAAACAUCAAAAUUUAGACAAAUGUUAAAUUUUGAAGCACUUGGUUUUUGAAUCAUGACUCUUCUACAACCAACUCCUAGGGACUUACUACAUAGCCAACAAUGAAUCCAAAAUAGUUUCACAAGAAACACUAAAAUACUGUGUUGGCCUUUGCAUGUUUAAGAUGUUCACAUGUAGCUGGGGUUUGCGUGCUUAUGAGCUUACCUAAUAGUAAGUUAAAAAAACAAUAUAUUAUUAUACUGACCAGUCUAAAGAGAAAUAGAUAAGUUACUGUAUUUGUUAUUAUAAUCAAAUAUUAUCUAAAAAAGAAAUAAAUUAUAAGGAAUAUGUUUUCAUUAUUUUUAUCUUUAUUUAAAGAAUAUAAAUAUUUUUUAAUUAAUGAUAAAUAAUUGAUUUUAAAUGUGAUUACGGUUUAUAUCUUUAUCUAAGAAAAUAAAUGAUAAAAUGUGAAUACUCAUAUCUAAAAUUAAAUAUUUAUCCAAUUAUGUAGGCCAGCCUCAUAUUUAUUGUAAAAAUUUUAACAAAGUUUAAAAUAAUGAAAAUUAGAAUAAUGGUAUUCCUACAUUAAAUCUUACAUCAAAUACUUACAUUAAAUAUUUUUUACCGUAUUUAAACGAUGAAUAAUAUUUUUAUUUUUAAUAAAAAAAUAUUUAUAUAAAAAUGUUUUUAUUUUUAAAAUUAUUUUUAUAAUAAAAAUAUAAAAUUUAUCACAAAAUAAUUUUAUUAUCGUAUUAACUAUAAAAAUAUAGGUUAUAAAUCACAUAUUUCACUUAUAAUUCAUUAACCAGUAAAAUACAUAAUAUUAAUCAAAUUAUGAUAUUAAAAUAUGAAAUAUAUAAUUUGCUUAAUUAUUAUAUUUUAUAUUUUAAUGUCACAAUUUAUUUAUAUUAUUUAUUUUAUUAAUUGAAUAUAAUAAUAAGUAAAAUAUAUGGUUAAUCAUCUAUAUUUUUAUGAUUAAUACAAUAAUAAAAUUGAUUAGUGACAAAUUUUAUAUUUAUAUUACAAAAAUAAUUAUAAAAAUAUAUCAAAAACGAGUUUAAGACAACGUAGGAAAAAGUGAAGUGACACUCAAAUAUUAUUUGCUCAUUAAGCAAUCAGUUAAAAUUAAAGUGAAUUAACGAAUUAAGCAUAAAGUUUCACACAAUCAAAAUUAGGGAACAAUAAAUCAAUCGAACAAAACAAAACUACUAAGUUUUGAGUGUAAAAUUUGGUGUAAUAUUAAAAAUUAAAAAAAAAUUGAGGUUUAUAAGAUGUAAAAUUAUUUAUUAAACUCUUUUAAUAAAUUUAAUAUUAUGAUAAUUUAUUAUGAUAAAUAAUAUUUAAAAUAAGAAAAGAUUGAGCUUUUAAAGGAUGAAAUUCUAGUCAUUAGAUUAAAGAAAACAUCACCAAAACCUUAUUUCACAGAUGAAAUCGACUACAUAUAUGAUAUAUCAAUUUUCACGCUAAUAUUCUAUCAAUCACCAUAUUUUAUAGCCAUUAGACUAUUUAAUCAAAAUUAUUCAUAAUAAAUUUCAUUUGAUAUUUACUUUUUAAUAGAUAAUAAAGUAGAUAUAUUUAAUCUUUAUUAAAAAAUUAUUAAACAUUAUUGGUAUUAAAUAUGAUUUUAUUAAUUUUAAUUUUGAUAUAAUUAAUGGAUAUAAGUAUUGGCUCAAGAUAUAUCAAAGCCUUUGCCAAAUUUUUAACAAAGAUUUUAAUAAUAAAAAUUAUGAGUGUAAUAUUUAAAAUAAAAAAUUGAGCUUUUUAAAAUGUAAAAUUAUUGAUUGAAUUAUCAUAAAUCAGUUAAGUGUGUAUUUAUGCAAGAUGGGACAUCCCAUUUGCAGGGGCACAAAUUCAACCCACAACAUCUCACUUUUUAUCUUGGAAAAUUCCAAUCAAUAAAUUACUUGAUCCAAAAAAAUCAUAGUAAAUCUUGUUUGAUAUUUAUUUUCAAUCAAAUAUAUGUAAUCCUUAAUGAAACCUUAAACAUUAUUGAUUUUAAAUAAGAUUUUAUUAACUUUAAUUUUAUACCAUUAAUAGAAGGACUAUAUUCUGGAACGAAUUAAUAUAUUUUCGUUAUUCUUAUUUUUAUUUAAAUAUUUAAAUAUUAUUUAAAUUAAUAAUAAAUAAUUGGUUUUAAAUGUGAUGAAGUUUAUAUCUUUAUCCGAAAAAAUAAACGAUAGUGAAUAUUUAUAUUAAAAAAUAACACAAUACACUUAAAUAUUUAAUCUCCUUAACCUAUCUAAAUAUCUAGGCCGGCAUAAGACAUAUUGAAGUUUAGUGUAAAAAAUUUAACAAAGCUUUUAAUUAUAAAAAUUAUGACUGUAACAUUUAAAAUAAAAAAAAUUGAACUUUAUUAUUAGAUGUCAAAAUAUUUAUUAAACACUCUUAAUAAGUAUUAAAUAUAAAUUUAUUAAAUUUAUUUUUGAUACAAUUAAUGAAUAUAAGUACGGGCUCAAGAGAUAUACACGCCUUUGAUAAAAAAUUUAACAAAGAUUUUAAUUAUAAAAAUUAUGAAUAUAACAUUUAAAAUAAAAAAGUUGAUCUUAAAAGAUGUAAAAUUCUUUAUAAAAUUAUUAUAAUAGUUUUUGAUUAAUUAAUAUGCACAGUCAAUAUCAUUUUUUUAUUAUUAUUAUUAUUAUUAUUAUUAUUAUUAUUAUUAUUAUUAUUAUUAUUAUGCGUCGGUGUACAACUCAUAAAAAAAGACGUCAAUCAUAAAUAUAUAUUGGUACAGUGUCGUCAAUUGGAUUGACGCAUCCUCGUAGGUGUUAUAUGCAGGGAUGAAGCUAGAGAUUUUGAACUGUAGGAGCAAUAUAUUAAUAUAUAAAUUUAUUUCUAUUUAUUUUUAAAUCAUAAAUAUAUAUUUAAUUUAUUUUUAAAUCAUAAAUAUAUAUUAUAUCUAUUUUUUAAGAAAUCUAUCUCUAAAACAAUUUUUAUUAAUUUUUUAAAAUUUUAAAAUUUUAAAAUUUUGUAAAUUUUAAAAUUUUAUUAUCAAGAAAAAUAUUUUUUUAUGUAUUUUUUAUGAGAUCAUAAUAUUAACAUAAAAUUCUAUAAAUCAAUUUUUUUAAAGAUCGAGGAAAAAAUUAUUUUAAAAUUAUAACAAGAAAAACAAUUCAAUAUAUUUCAUCUGACAUGUUUUAAUUUAAUUAUUGAAAAUAAAAAAUUCACUAUAUUUUUGGACAAUAUCCUAAAUAAAUAUUCAUAUACUUUAUUAUUUUCAUCUAAUUUUUAGUAAUAUCUUCAUAAUAAUAAUAUUAUUUAUAUAAAUUUAAAAUAAUAUAAAUUUAUAUAUAUAUAUAUAUAUAUAUAUUUAUAUAUAUUAUAUAUAUAUUAAUAUAUAUUAUAUAUUAUAUAUAUAUAUAUAUAUAUAUAUAUAAUAUAUAUAUAUAUAUAUAUAUAUAUAUAUUAUAUAUAUUAUUUAUAGUAGGGACCAUUUGUCUUAUGCUAUUUUAAUUUGUUAUUUCUUAAUUUCCCCGUCUAUUUCAGUGUUUGGAUUAAAAAAAGGGGGGGGUCGGGGGUUCCCUCUUGGGGGUGGGUUUAGUAUUUUAAUGUUUUUUUACUUAAUAUUUCUUUUGUGUUUUUCACAUUCUUCUAUGUCUUAGAUUGACGUCUUCUUUAUUUUGAAAGUGGGUUACUCUCAGAAAUAAUUGAAAAAGUAAAUUAUUUUAGAUAUCUAUUUGAAAAGUUAGAAAAUCUUAAAUAUUAUUCAUUUUAAAUAAUAUUUUAUUAAUAUAAUUUUUAAUACCAUUAAUAGAAGGACUAUAUUCUGGUAUCAACCGAAAGGAUUAUAUUAUUGGACUAUUUUAAAUUUCCUAUUAUAUUGUUGUCGUCUAUUAUCAAUUUAUUUUAUCAAUAAAUCACUAUUUGAAAUUUUAUUAGUAUUUAAGUCUUUAAAUUCAUCUACACCUUUGACUUCUACUAUUAAUUUUCAUUUUCAUUUUUUUAAUGUUUAUAUAACUGGUACAUUGUUAACUUGUUUAUUUAAUAAACAUUAAGCAAUAUUUUUAAAUUAACUUUUUAAUUUAUUUUUAUAAAUUUAUCUAAAGUUCCCUUUUAUAAUUUAAUUAAAAUUUCAACUCUCUUUUUUUAAUUUCUAAUUUUUUUUAUUCAAAUUUUUUUAAUUGACAUUACUCUAAAUAACAUAAUAAAACAAUUUCCACAAUAAACACAAACAAAAAAAAAAUUCAAAAAUAAGAUAAUUGAUUAAAUAUAAAUGAUUUAAAUUAAAAGUAAAUAAAAUAAAAUUGCAUAAAUAAAAUAUAAUUUUAUCCUUUUACAAUGCUAGAGAGGACAUACACUUUAUCAUAGAAGUAACGAUUAAUUAAUGGAGAUGAUGAAUUAACAUAUUUUAUACUCUCAUAUACACAUUUUAGGUUGGAAAUGAUUUGAUAUAAUCCUUUAUCUAACCUGUUUAAAUUUUAAUGGGUUGAAUUUGUCGUUCAACCCACAAUUUCAUUGUCAAAAUUGACAGAAACCGACUUGUUUAUUUAAGGGUUGUGUUCGCGAUGUUUUAAAUAAAAAUUAUUUUUUUAUAUAUUUUUUAAGAUAUAAAAAAUUUAACCCAAUUCAAAUUAGAUGAAACACAUCAUAUAAUGUCUAAUAAAGUUCAUCAACACGACAUAACACUCGAUAAUAGUAUUAAAUUCUAAUAGUAUCAAUGUUAAAUUAUUUUAAAACAAUUAUUUUAAUUAACUCUUUAAUCAUAACAUUUAUUUAUUAUAUUUUUAUAAUACAUUAUAAUAAAUAUAUUAUAAAUAUUCUUAUUUUUAAUUAGAAAUAUAUAAUGAUAAGUUAAUUAAAUAAUUAUGGUUUGUGAAAAACAAAAACAAAAUCAACGUCAAAGUUAUAUGCUUCAACAAUUUAUAUAAUGACUCAUUUUUAAAUAAAAUAGCUUUAAAAAUUAAAAGUUUGAAAAAUAAUAGUUGAUAUAUUAUAUAUUUUAUUUAUUUUUAUGUUGACAAUAUAAAACAUAGACAUUAAUUUUAUUCUUUAACCAUAAUUUUUAUAAUAUAUUAAAAUAAAAAGUAGUUAAAAUUAACUAAUAAAAUUAAUUAUAAAUAGUUUAAAUAAUUUAAUUAUUAUCAAAUAAAAAUAUAUAAAAUAUUUAUUUAGUAAAGAAUAUUAAAACGAAUAACAAAUUAUAUGAGAUGAUAUGACUUUUUUAUAAUCUUUUGUUUUCUUAAGUUAAAUUAUUUAGUAGAUAAAAAAAAAAAUUAAAAUUGAUAUAUUUCUCUCUCUUCUUUAAAUGAUAUUUUUUUUUCUAUUUCUUACCUUUUAAUAGUUGGAUUAAUCAAAUGGUUUAAAAUUGCACAUGAGAGAGGGCAUAAGAGAAAAAAUUGGAGAGGAUCCAAUUCCGAUAAAAAGAUGUGGUAAAUUUAUGAGUAGUUUAAUAAUUUAUACAUAUUUUUAGCCUUAUUAAUUGUCACUUCGUUGAAAAAGAAAAAGGAAAUAAUAAUAAUGAUAGUGAUAAUAAUUAAAUAAUAUUGAAUUUUUUGACAAAUAAUGUUAUUAAAUAUUAUUGAAUAUAAUAGAUGAAAGAGAAAAAAAAAUGAAGAUCUUUGUCUGGCUUACCUCCUCGUUGAAUAGGGUAUGCUAACUAUUAAUAUGCCAAAGCCUCUUUAAAAAAUUAAACAAAUCAAUUAUAGGAUCCGAUAACUAUUAAGGAAUUUCUUAUGUCAUCAUAUGAAAUGGAAAAACUAUACAAAAUUUAAAAUAUUCAUUCAAGUUUAAAGAUGCAUCUUCGAAUACACAUUUGUAUCACCUUAUGACGCACUAAAUGAGCGACACCCUAAAGUAAAAUAAAAUCUUAUUCCAAAGAUACAUCUCUGAGUAUUUUGAACAAAUAUAUUGAUAUUUAAGCAAGCGUCCUCAGCAUGACCAGAUACCUGUAUCAUACACUCAGUUGCUGUCGUAUCUUGUCCAGUAAGGGGCAAUUGCGCCAAAAGAGAUUCCGCAUGCAACUCCUCCCUAAAAUCACAAGCAUAAUCCUAAUGUGCCUUGUUCAUUUCAUGUCGGAUACAUAGGGCAUUCUAUAGAGGAUUAUUUGGUCCUCAAGGCCAUAAUGCAAGAGUUAAUUGACCAUAAGGUUUUGUCAUUCUUUGACGCAUGACCCAAUGUCAUAAACAACCCGUUGCCAGACCACUGUGGACAAAUAGUGAAUGCAGUUAGUGGCGAAGAUUGCUCAGAUUCAGUUGCUUCUUCAGAGGAGUAUCGAUGCUAGCAAUAUCAUAUUGAUUCAAUCAUGUAUCAUUUGUAAUCCUUUCUUGUUUUUUAAAUGUUGUUCAUUUGUAACUUGUCUGGUUUUUCAGAUGAUAAUAAUAAUGAAAUAAACGUGCAUGUUUUGCUUAAAUCCAUUCGUGUCCACUCAUAUUUUAUUUUAUCAGUAUCAAACUGUUUGUCGAACAAAAUCAAAAGAGAAUGAUGCAAUUAAAAAUACGCAAGAUCGCUGCCUGUAUGGUUUUGAAUAAGAUCGUGCUGAUGAUGUAAGGCAUUGUUCAAUCCCUAAACACCGGAGAUAUAAGGAAGAUAAUCCCUAGUCAACCCCUUUGGGUAUUGUAAUAGGAGUUUCUUUCUUGAACACAUAAAACCCUCAUGCUUAACCAGGGGCAGAGUAUUCUUCAGUUAGUUUAGACUUGCAUUCAAAUUUAAGAAGGACAAUAUCUCAUCCAGUGAUCAAUCAUAUCAUAUCCCUCUCAAGAGGAUGGAAUCAUAAAUCCAGGAUGGUUAUCCCUUACCCAUCAAAAAGAGUGAGAUAAUCACGACUCGUGCAACAAAUCGAGAAAGCUGUGUCACAAGGUUUUCUCUAGUACAAAAAUAAAAGAUGAAACAAAAUUAAAAGCCCGCUAAGUCAAAAGCUUGAAAACAAGAUUGACUUAGGCAAAAGUCAGGGUAUCCCGGUGGGAUGCAGACCCAAAGGAUCAGCCUAGGAAAAAAUAAGGGUAAACAAAACAAAAGAAUUAGAGGAUCAAUACCAAAAUUCGUAGCGAGAGCAAAUCCCUGUGACUAUAAACAAAAGCAGAAGGCGAGUGGCUAUCGCUCUAAAUUCUCGUGGAUUCCUUAAACCAUCAUUGUUGAUAUUCAAAAUCCUUUCUGAAAGACGAACGCUUAUUUUAAGCUAAUUGAAUAUAGAACUAGAUAACAUCACACAGAAUGGGUGGGUUAGAAUAGGUUUUGAGCCUUAUAUCCUUUCUUUCUGAAACCGUGAACUAGGCCAAGUUACAACCCUCAAAAGACCUAAUUGAAGUAGGGUUUAUUUCAAAAGCAUACUAUGGUAAGAUCGCGUUAAGCUGACUCCUUAAGAUUUUCUUGUCAUAUGUUUGAUACUGAUAUGGCAUUCUAAACAGUGAUUUGUUCACUAGAUGUCAUAAUCUUAGUGAACACACUUGAGUUUUCAAAACUUGCAUGAGCAUGACAUUACAAUUAUCAUUUUAAAAAUGAGCGUUUUACAUGCGAACAUGCAUUUGACACCAAGGAAGCUUACAAUGGGAAAGUUGAUCAAAUUCCUAAUAUCCCAUAGCUCAAAUCUCUUCAAGAGCCCGUCAAUCUAAGGCACCAUGCCAAGAUUUUGCAAAUCUCUCUGAAUCAGCUGUAUAAGGGAAAAGUUUAAUUCGAAGUUCAUAUUGGGGAAGGCCACCUCAAGAGCAUGAGAAGUCAAUCACUCCUAAGAUAAUUAACUAGGAGGAUAUAGUUUCAAGAUGCUGGGGCAAGCCAGUUUGAGAUACUCAGAUGACGAGAUCACUCUAAUUUGUAAUUGGAGAAAUUGGUGCAGAUAUCCAAUACAUUGGGGCAGAGGCAGGCUACGCAGGUACAAGCUCUCUCCAUGUUCUAGACAUAAUCCAGAGGUGUGACAACAAUUUUUCAGCUUGAAGUAGGUUCGAAGAAUCACGUCUGGAGGAUACCAUAUCCUAGCCAAAAAUUUCCACCUCCCUCUAUAUGAGCACCUGGAUUAACCAUUGCAUAAAUCAUUAUCAUGAAUAAAUCACGUCGCUUCACUCAUGCAUACCAUUCAUCUAUCAUAGCAUGAAGCCGUGUGUGAGAAUCAAAGGAAUUAAAGCCCAGUAUUUUAUUGGCAUCUCCAAAUUCCAAACUUGCCUGGUACCUUUUUAAACCAUCUAGUUUGACAAUUCUUCCAAAAUCCAAUUUGCUUGGCGUCUUUUAAGCCCAGUUUGCUUGGUAUCUUUUUUCGACCUUUAGGGUCGAUGAUCCUCUUUUCCAACAUUCAUGGUUGAGGAACCUUUUUUCAAUCUUCAGGAUUGAUAACCUUUUUCCAAUCUUUAGGGUUGACGAUCUUUGUUUCUAACCUUCAUGGUUGUUGAAUCUUUUUCCCACCAUUAGGGUGAUGAUAGACUUUGUUUCCGGCCUUUAAGGUUGAUGAUCCUCUUGCUUUCAACCUUUGCGGUUGUUGAAUCUUCUUCCAACCAUCAUGGUUGUUGAAUCUUUUUCCUACCUUUGUGGUUGUUGAAAAUUUUUCCAAACCUUCUUGGUUGAUGAACUUUUUCAAUCUAUGUGAUUGACAAACUUUUUUCCAAACUGUAAGGUUGAUGACCUUUCUUUUUUUCAAACCUCUGUGUUUGACUUUGUUUCCAGUUUUUGAACUGAUGAUUCAUUUGUGAAACCCCUUGUUUGCAAGAAUAUUUUGGAACUUUCAUGCGCUCUUUGAUUAGCAUACAUGGCCACAUGUUUCAAAAAUGAUAAAAAAAAAUACAAUUUAGCAUGCAUAUCAUGAUCGUCAUUUGCCAUUAAUAUCCCCACAGUACAUCAAAAUCACCAGCAAAUAAACCCGUAAAAAAUCAAGUUGAUAUCCCUAUAUCUCAUACAAUUGUCCUUCAAGGAAAAAAAUUCGGAUACUUCGAUAUUUAAUCCACGCAUACCUUAAAAAGCUGAAAAGCUCUCGCAAUUCGACCAUUCAGGUCUAAGCUGAUUAAAUAGGGGCAGAUGUCGUAUCCUAAAUUUGUCCUCCCUAUUUCAUCUUUCCACUCAAUUUAUCAACUUGAGAUUCAUCUGUACCACAUUCAUAUUUCAUUCAUAUGCAUCAUUCAUUAAUCAUACAUUCAAAGCUUGUGGCCUGCAAAUCUAAGGUUUGUUGAUGGGACAUGGCUCUUCAUAGGCUCAUCAUGUGAGGGGAAACCCUAAUUUCAUACUCUUUUAGACUUUGAUUCAAAAAGGUUACAAUCACGACAUUCAUUUAGUCAUUCAAACCCUUAUUCCUGACUUUGUUGUCUUUCGGUCUCACAAGCUUUCACCUGUGUAUCAUGAAGCCCUAAUCAGGGAAGAUUUGGUCCGGUUGCACCUUAUGGCUUGACUUUUCAUCUUGUGUGUGCUGGAAACCCUAAUUCAUUAGGGAGAGGUGUUUGACUAUCCUAUUAUGCAUGCCUACUGGUUUGGAAUUGCACAUGAUUCAGGUCUUGUUUCAAGCAUCCCUAUGCCCAUCACAUUUAACUUUGCAUAGGCCAUUAACUCAAGUCUUUUGGUAUGGGCAAAUGCAUAGACCCAUAUGCCCGAUUCACUUCAUUCAUAUGAUGCAGAUGAUCAAGGAUGAUUGGUCCAUUUAAGAUUUGGUUCCAUUGGUUCAUUCUUUGUUUCUUAAGCAAAAUCAUUAUUUCAUUUGAAUUAUGUCAUGUGAAAACCCUAAUUCAAAUUUCACAGUUGACUUCGAUUAACUAGUUUACCAAAGUCAACCAUCCCUUUUUGAGUCCAUUAAACUUUUUCAUUAAUCAUUCACACUUAAUCACAUUUUUCGAGCUAUUUGAUGCAUCCAAUUCAUUCAAUUUUCAAAUGUAAUUUUGACCAUUCCAAACAUUUUAACCAUUCAAGGUUAACAAUUUAAGUUCUAUAAACCAUCUUCUUUUACAAUAUAUUUCCACUCAUAAACUUUCCAUAAGCAUUCAAAAUUUUCCAUCAUAAAUAUCAUUCAAUACAAUAAACUUGUCCAUGGUUCGCGCAUUUAAUCCUUUCUUUCCAUCAUUUAUUUGCAUUGCAAUUCUAUUCAUCCAAAGUAUCAAACUUUUCAUAAUCACCAAGUUCCAUUCCAAUACAUUCAAGUUUUACCUACAACUUUCCUUUACAAUUAUUACAAACCAUUGUUUUACAUUGUUACACUAUGUAUCAACCAUAUCCUACAUAACCAUAUUAACCAUUCCAAAUGAUCAAGCAAGAUAGAAUUUCAUUCACUAACCAUACAAGAUAUCUCAAGCAUACAUUUCCAUUUCAAGCUACAUUAUAAUGCAUCAUAAUCCAACAAUAUCAUGAAGCAGCCCAUGGCCUCUUAUGCAUUCACUAGAAAUAUUUCCAUAGCACAAAUUGGCCAUGUCCCAAAAGAUAAUGCACAAAAAAAGCAUGAAAUAUCAUGAUUCUGUUAGGCUCUGUUUUGAAAUUAUUUACCUGAUGAACAACAGACAUAAAUGCCGAUCGAGGUUAUAUGGAAGCUUCAAAUACUGAAAAAGAAAACACACCCAUUGCAUUGAUGGCUACAGCUCUUCCUUUGAAACGCCAUUGAAGCUUCAAUUCGUGGAGCUUAAACCACUGCACCUCUUCGACCUCACGCGGAAAACGCAACAACAGCAUAUGCUUAGAAGAACAGAGGGAGAGGAAUAAGAUUGCAGCAACAUAACAGAAAGAGUGAAGGAACAAAAUUGAGACGAAGAAAAAGGGAAGAGAUCGGUCAAUACCUGUUCGCAGUUGAAGCAUCAAAUUUGGUAAGUCCUUUUGAUUUUCUUUUCUUUCUGUUUAAGUCCGCGAGCACAAUGUUGGAUGGAAUCACAUGUCGAUGAGGUUGAACACAAUCCAUGAACUCUAUUAUCUGUUAGAAUUAGAAUAUUAGGUUAUUAAGUGACAAUUAGAAAUUGUGAUUUAAUUAGAAUUCUAGUAUUGAUAGAUUUUGGAUUUUCAUUAGAAUUAAUUAGAAAUUUUAGAAUUUAACUAGGGUUUUAGAAUCUAUUUUAGACUAAUUAGAUUUUCACAUAAUUAUAUAUAAUUAUAAUUAAUUAGUUUUUGAUUAAAUGUUGAUUAUUAGAAACUAUUUUCCUAAUUAAUCCAUUUAUGCAUAUUGACUAUUUUACCCUUUAGAGGUUAUGUUUGUCAUUUUAGCCAUAAGGACAUGUUCCUUUAGGUUUAGAUCUUGACAUCAAUUUUUAAUCAAGUCUUGACCAAUUAUAUCAUGAUCCCUUAGGAUAGUUUGUAACAAAUUCUAACCAUUAGAUUAGGAUUUAAUCUAGUUUUCAAACUAAUUCAAACCUUCUGAUUCAAAUUGAUCAAAAGCAAUUUUGAUCAAUUAAAUCAUUUGAUAUUGUAUAAUCCCACAGUCUAAUUUGAGUGACACAAAUACUCUUGGUCACCUAAUGAGACUUUUUCGGUAAGUUGUGGAGCUCGAGGCCUCAAGUCAUAUUUUCAAUCAAGGCAUCAUCGGUCAGACCAAGCAGUGGAUAAUACAAGGUACAUCAAAGGUGGCAUCUUUGAGAGCUUGUCAAAUCAAAGUUAUGAUUGUGUGGCAUGAGCCUUGAGUAAUGAAGAAAGAAUGAGACUGAAGAAUUCCUACCCCCAUCAACACAAAGGGCAUCAUGUCAGCAACUUGUUAAUUUUGAUUCAAGUUGCAUGCCAUGAGCCUUAAGAAACAAAGAAUGAUGAGAGUGGGGAAUUCCUAUCCUUGUCUAGAAUAUUCUUGGGUACGGGACGAAUGACCCAGUUGCUCAAAGUAUUCGCCUUUUUCCAUAGACUUUGGUGCAAUUUAAAUCAUGCAAUUGACAAGCCUUCUUCUUCAAGCAAGCAUCAAUCAUUCAACACUUCAAUAGUGAAACACCAUUACCCCCUUUAGUAUUGGACUUUCCUCCUGGAUGUUCAUACAUUUCUUGGGAUUAUUACCUUGGGGUCACAUACCCAUCUCGCAAUCAAUUGCUUCAUGCAUUGCCUAUCAGUUCACACUAUGGCAUACUUCAUUGCUUGCCCUCAACGUACAGACCCUGACAUUCAGCCUAUGGAGUACAUACUCUGGCUUUGUUUCUUCCCCAUAAGGUACAGACCUUGGCAACUUCUUGCAGCCCAUAGAGUAUAGACUCUGGCUUUAUUCCUUGCCUACAACAUACCGAUCUUGGCAUCCUUGCCCUAAUGAGUUCAGACUCUGGCCAUCUGAUUUUGUCUAUACAGUACUGACUUUGACAUAUUAUUAUGCCUUAUAGUUAAGACUUUGGAAUUCAUUCAUCCAGCCCAUUGGGUUCAGACUUUGGCAUCGUACUAUUUUGCCCUUAUGGAGUUCAGACUCUGGCAUUCAAAUCAGUUCAUUUGCCUUAUAUAGUUCAGACUAUGGCAUGCUUAUACAUCUUGCCCAUGGAGUUCAGACUCUGGCAACCUUUAACAUUGUCUUGAAGUCAGACUUUAGAAUUAUAUCUCCUUUUCCCUUAUUGAGUUCAGACUCUGAGAAUCUGUUCCUUGCCUUUGUAUUAGUUCAGACUAUGGAAUUCAUCUAUCUUGCCUUGUGGAGUUCAGACUCUGGCUAUAUCUCAUUUGUCCUUAUGGUUGAUUACCAUCUUUGGUAAGUGUCAUACUCUCGCUUAUUAAGCAAUCACCUUGCCUCUGAGCAAUCCUAUCAAAUCUCCCUUUGCUUUCAGUUGUAGUAGGCUAAACUACGAUUGCUCUGAUUUUCUCAUUGCACGAUGAGAAUACAUAGGCACAAGGGUUCAAAUCCUCCGUGAGCAUACUUAUUUAUUACUCCUACCUUAGGGCAUUUCUCCAUCCAUCUCCAUGAUACAGUCAUAUACUACCUUUAUUCACUUCAUGUGAUAUACCCUAUUCUUUGAGCCAAAUACAUUAUACCUUUGUGCUCCAUCUUGUACCCCUUUGUGAACCAAGAGAUGUUUCUGUUGUGAAACCAAAAUUAAUUUCCUUUGUUUUCGGCUAUACCAUAUAGUGGCGAAUGUUCAGACAAUCCAUAUAUCGGUUUAUUCCAGUUUUACUCUUGGGUUCACGCUUUCACCCCUUGUUGGGGUUCAAAAUAUUAUCCUCUGGUUCAGGCCAUACCUUGAUCACAACUUCCUUUUCAUCUCCCACCACUAGUUCUUUGAACUACGAAGUUAUGAAUUCCUCAUUGCACUAUGAGUAUACAUAGGCAUGAGGGCCCUAAUCCUCACCGAGCACUCUAUCUAUUUCUUUUCAUUUUCCCCAUUCUUUUGCGAGUAAUCUUUAGAUACAACACUCAUUCGAGCGAGAACAAUCAAAACGGUUCCCAUGGAGUACCAUAGAUGUUAGGGAUGCUAAUACCUUCCCAUUGCAUAAUCAACUUCCUUACCCAACAUAUCUCUUUCCCCUGGGUUUUAUCGAUGUGUUCGGGUAUAUUUCCGCUAGCUGCAUCACCAACUCCAAAAUCUCAAAAAAGUGUUUUUAAAGGAACUCGCAUUAGCAAACCACCUCCUUCACCGUCUCUACCAAAAAUUUCAUUCAUUGACGAGAUGUUAUUUUUUUCAUAAAUACAUCGAACAAAUCGUCAAUGUUGAGGGUGACGGUAAUUGCGAUUUUCGAGCUAUUUCGAUUUUGCUGGGUAAAGGAGAAGAUGAUCACACACUUGUCUGCCAUCAACUUAUCCAUGGUUGAGGACCCAUAUAGAAUUAUACACACGACUUUACCGAAAGAAACAAAAUUUUGAUGCAAUUUAUGAGUCUUUUAUUCCUUGCAUUAGUGGUCCGAAACCAGAGGAAAAAUGAAUGUGCUUCCCUGAAAUGAGUCAUCUCAUAGCAAGUGCAUCUGAUAAAGUGUGUAUUGGUCUUACAAGAUACGAUUUUUUGGAAACUUUUUUUCCACUGCGCACCACCCAACCUCAAAAUCUAAAUGAUCGUAUUUUGUGUAUUAGAAUACCUUUAAAAUUACGACACUUUGUUCAAAUUUAUUUGAAACGGGAUGUCGUAUACCACUUACAUCAGUGGAGUGGACAACUCAUUCAACAAUAAAAUCCGGGACUUAGACGGGCCAAUUUAUGGAAAAGAUGCAAGAGUUUACCAAAUUGAGCGACAUUGAAAGUGAAUAUAAUGCACAAAAGUCAAAGGGGGAACCACUCAUACUUAUAAAUUUAGCCAUCGACAAAUAUUUCGAUUCGUUUUAGUUUUUCGUUAUCAAUUAAUUGUAUAUAAUUUUGUAUUAAUAGUAAGGGUUAAUAACAUUUUUAUAGAAACAUUCUAGUUGUACCUUGGGGGGAAUGACCCAUGAUUGAUGCUUACGUGUCAUGAUAAAUAUCAUGAUAUAUUUUAGUUUUUAGUUUUUUAAUUACAUAUAUGCUUACGUGGACUUACAGUUUUUUAUUUAUGAAUUAUUUCUAUUUUCAUGUGAAAAUUUAUUUUCUUUUUCAUUUAUUUUAAUCAUAACAAUUAUCAAAACUACUUUAAGAAAGUUCUAAAAUUUUGUCAACAAUGAAAUUCUCAUACGGAUUUGGCAAGGAACUUUGAAAGGAGAUUUGAAAGCGUGAACCACAACCAUAGAUAGGAAGAAGGAGAAUUAGGGUUCAACAUAGUUUGAACCGUGUUUAUGUUUAUGUUAGGGACCGAUUCGGGCUAGACCCAAUCUAGGUUCGGUUGAUCCACUAACCAUUAGUUUUUUUUUUAAAUUAUUUUGUGAGUAUACCAUUUGUUGUUUGGCCUUACCUAUUUGUGACUUGGGCAAACCCCACUUUAGGAGCCAUCUUGUCUUAUUUAUUUAUUUAUUUUUGUCUUUUCCUCAACCUUUUUUAUUGCAUUAAUAUUUUAGUAAAAGAAUAUAUAAAAAACAUAAACUUUUUCAUGAAAAAAAAGGUGGUUUACAAUUUUAUAAUAAUUGAUUUUUAUUGUUAUUUCAAUUUUUUUAUCAAUAAAUAAAUAAAAGUAGACAAAAUUUGUUUGAUGCGUGCCUUAGGGUUUCUUUUUCCUAUCAAGCUAUAUCUCAAAAGAAGAAUAUUUCUUUAAGAAUUAUUCCUUUUUUUAAAAAUAAAUUUGAUUCCAUUAUGGUUUGAUUUGUUUGAUCUUUAUUGAUUGUGUGAAUGCUUGUAUUGUUCAUACUUGAUCCAUGAUUUAUGUAACCUUUCACUUAGACCUUCGAUUGUUAGUAAGAUAAAAGUAAAUGUGCAAUAAAAUCAACCUUUUAAAAUAAGAUUCAAACACUCUAUCGAUAUGAAUUUGGUUUUAAAAAGAUCUCACUAUUUUCACCAUCCAUUCAAAGUUAAUUUCAAGUCAUCUCACAAAUUAUUUUCAUGCUAACACGAAUAAACCCUCGAUCAACAUCGAGUUUCUUUUUUGCUUAUUAAAAACUUGAAAAUCAUUUUCAUAAUAAAUCAGUUGAAAAAGGAAUGGGAGGCGCACACAUCUCUACUCCUCGAAUAAGUGAGUGAUUGGUAGACUCCAUAUUGCUCUAACUUUCAUCUUCCGAAUAAAAUAUCCUAAAUAAACAUGGAUGAAAAAGGAAGAGAGGCGCACACAUCUCUACUCCUCGAAUAAGCAAGUGGAAGACACACACCUCGCUACUGCGAAUAUUUUUUCUUCCGCAAAUAAUUUUCAAAAUAUUAAAAUCAAACAAAAAAGGAAUGGGAGGCGCACAACUUGUUGCUCCUCGAAUAAGUGAGUGAUUGGUGCGCGCCAUAUUGCUCGAGCUUUCAUCGUCUUCCUACAAAACACUAAACCAAUCAAACCUAUUUUCUCGCCCCCUUCGUUCAUCCCAAGACGAUGUAAACACGCUUCAUUUCUACCAUGCGCAAGAAGUUAUAACUCUUUUCGCUCGAAUGUGACGAGAACAAAUUUGUGAGAAUCUGGAUUAUGUUAUUCAUUCUAAUGUGAUGCCAAUGUUCACUUCUCCAUGUUUUUAGUAGCAAAUAAUGUUUUCGCUCGAAUGCGACUAAGUACCUUUCGUAAAAACUGAUCAACAAACAAAAAAUUUCUACCCAGAACUACGUAGCCUUGAGUUUUUCAUCGCACCUGAGAUAUGUAGAAGCGAGACCCGUAAUCUCGUCAGGCACAUUAAUAAAAGAAAACAUUUUGCGACCCAUUUUGUUUUCUCUUUACACUUUUGACCACUCGAAGAAAACAUAUGACAUAAGCUAAAAUUUCAACCACAAAUCUAACUAAAUGGUUCCCGUUGAGUGUAACAGAUGUGAGGGGUGUUAAUCCCUUCCCCUCGCAUAAUCGACUCCCAAACCUGAAUUUGAUUGUGACAAACAUUUUCUUUUUCUUUUAAGGAUUUUAUCAAUAUUUCCCCUCCUUUUUGGAAUAAAUCAAUUUUGAUGGUGACUCUGUUAUCUUGACCAUGCAAGCGCUCAUGGUCAUUUUUCGCGUCGCGACACUACUGUACAAUAGUUAUCUGUAUCAAAAACUAAAAUAUUUGUGUCUGUAUCUUGUUGUCUAGGAUUGUUGGAAACGAGAAGGAUGGAAAAAUAAAGUGUGUUUAUUUUUCUAUGUUGUAAAAUCACAAGGUGGUUUUUCUUGGUGAUUAAGUUAGAAUCUUGUGUAUAGAAUCUAGGUUUAGGCUUGUACAAAAUAAUAACAAUAUUGAAAUCUCUUAUAGUGUCUAAGGGGACUGACAUACUCUCAGAUUGUGAUGGGAACUAGUAUGAUUUUCGAUGUUAUUUACUUUAUGCACUUUACUGCUUUCACCACCUAACCAUAAACCAAAAAAUAAAGAAACAUUCAUCUCUAAAAACAAUGUACUUACAGCGAGAGCAUGAUAUUCCGCUUCAGUACAUGAACAAGACACAAAAUUUUGUUUCUUUAAGCGCUAUGAAAUCAAGGAGUUACCCCAUAACACAUAAAUGCUAGUGUAUAUUUCCUAGUAUCCAGACAACGUGCCCAGUCGAAGUCAGCAAAACCAUGCAGCUUUAAGGAAUUAUUGCUGGCAAAAAAAUGCCUCGAGUAGGAAAUGCCUUCAGAUACUUCAAAACUCGAGUGGCUUCCUAACGGUGAGGAACCAAGGGGUUAGCCACAUAUUGGCUAAGGUGACGGACAAUAAAAGAAAUACUUGGCCGUGUGUUUGUAAGGUAAAGUAGCCUGCUAAUUAAUUUACAAUAUGAAGAAGGGUCCUCUAAAGGAGUACCUUCACUAGAUGAGAGCUUCAUGUGAGGAUCAAUAGGUGUGGAGACAAGCUAAGCCCCAAGAAAACCAGUGUCCUCAAGCAGCUAGAGCAUGUAUGUUCUCUGGCUGAGAAAGAUACCAGAAGUAGAACGUGCAAUUUUGAGGCCCAAGAAGUACCUUAGUUGACUGAGAUCUUUAAUGCAAAAUUGUUGAUGCAGGAAAGACUUUACUUGUUUAUUCCACAAUCGAGUCGCUUGUCAAGACAAUAUCAUCAAUGCACACUGAUAAGGAAGUGAAACCAUGAGGUGUGAUCUUGGUGUAUAAUGAGUGACCAACAACAGAUUGAGAGUAGCCUAAUGAAAUGAGAGCUGAAGAAAGCUUAGAAUGCCAUUGUCGACUGACCUGUUUCAGUCCAUACAAUGAUUUUUUUAAGUGUACAAACCUUGUUGGAUUCAAGAUUACCAUAGCCAAGAGGAAGAGACAUAUAUACUUCUUUAUUUAGGUCUCCAUGAAGGAAGGAGUUUUUAACGUCCAGUUGCUCAAGGUGCCAGUGUUUGACAGCUGCAAGAGAUAAAAGAACACGAACAAUAGUAAUUUUGGCAAUUGGGAAAAAAGUAUCAAAGUAAACUACAUGUUCUAAUUGAGUGUAACCCUUGGCUACCAACCGGUCCUUGCAUAUAUCAAUAGAGCCAUUGGCAUGGUACUUGACUUUGUAUAUCCAUUUACAACCAACUGGAGUUUUGCCUAGAGGAAGGUCCACAAUGGUCCAAGUUUGAUUGUCCUUAAGAGAUGCAAUUUCAGUAUCCAUGGCCUACUUCCAACAGUCAUGUUUAGAGGUAUGAAGAUAGGUUUUUGGUUUAAAUAUGGAUGAAAUAGAGCAACAAAAGGAUUUGUAAGUUGGAGAGCAUUUUUUAUAUGAUAUAAAGUUGGAGAUAUGGAAGGUAGUGGAAGAGGAGUUAUUUAUAGAGGCAUAUCUAUUUGAUGAAAGAAAGAGAUUACAAUAAUAGUCUUUGAGAAAACUAUGAGGGUGUUUGGUUCUCAUUGAUUUUUGAGUUAGUAGUGUGGAUUGGUUUUGGGGAAUGUCUGAGGGAGGGUUAGAAUUAUGUGGAUACAUGUUAUCAACUAAGGUAUCAUGAAGGAUGUUGGGUUCAAAGUCAAUAACACUAGGAUCUUGGGUACUUGGUGAUGGAUUAAAAGUAGUUUGAUAUGGACUUGAGGUACUAGAGUCAAUCAAAGUAGGUUGAUUGAGACUUGGAAGGUUAGGGAUAAGUCCUGUUUCAGAAGUAAUAGGAUAAUCAUAAGAAUUUGUGACUGGUGUGACAACAGUAGAAGGAGUGGACAUAUGAGGCUCAGGGGUCAGAGUGAGGGCCUGAGGUGUAACAUAGUCAAUGUCAUAGGUGAUGUCCAUCAAGCUAUGAAUAUAAGUAGGGAGAUUUGUGGCAUUACUUUUGAAUGGAAAGGUGGUUUCAUAAAAGAAAACAUUUAGAGAUAUGAAUAAGUUAUGAGACUGAAGGUCAUAGAGAAUAUAACCUUUAGUACCAUCUUUGAAACCAAGGAGAAUGGCUUUUCUAGCCCUACCAUUGAAUUUUGUUAUGUGGGUCUGUAAAGUUGUUGAAAAACAUAAACAAACAAAGACUUUCAAAUGAACAAUAAUAUAUUAAGUUUUGAAAAAGCAACUCGUAUGGAGAUUUUGACUGAAGUUGAGGACUAGGGAUCCUAUUAGUCUUGUGGACAACAUGUUGAAUACUGAAGUUCCAUAGGUUUAAAGGAAUAUGUGUUAAUGUUUUCUCUCAACCACCCCAUUUUGCUGUUUUUGUUAUAGUGGUGGUGGUGGUGUGUGUGUGGCGGGGGGGGGGGUGUUCUACACAAGAUUUAUGGCGACUUAUGCCUUUGGAAGGGAAAAAGGAACUAAGAGUUAGGAACUUUGAACCCUUAUAUGACCUAAAGCAUUUAAGAGUGGUUUUGAAUUUAUUUCCUAUUGAGGCAAUAAAAUGUAUUACACUUUGUUUUGUUUCAGAUUUUUCCUUAAUAAAAUGACCCAUGUAAACCUUGAAAAUCCAUCAAUAAGAGUUAAGAAAUAUUUAUAGCCUAAAAUAGAAUCAGUAGAAAAGGGCCCCCAUAAAUCAACAUGUAAAAGUUCAAAUGGAGCAUGAGUAUGAGUAAGACUAUUUAGAAAGGGGAAUUUCUUUUGUUUUGCAAAAUGAAACGAAUCACAAGGGUUCAUGUUAUUUUUACAAGGGAUGGGGGGAAAAUGUUUAGCCAUAGUUUUCAUACUGAAAUUAGAAAGGUGGCCUAGUCUUAGAUGCCAAAGUUCAAAGGAAUUAGAAAUAACAUAAUUACUAGUGGAAUAAACAUCACUAAUAUCUAUCACAUAGAGGCCUCUGUGCCAUUUAGUUGUACCAAGCAUUUGCUUUGGAUGGUUCUGCAAAAUAUGACACAAGUUUGAAGAAAAUUUCAGAUAGCAAUCAAUAUUGCUAGUCAAUUUUGUGACUAAGAUUAAAUUAACAUGAAAGUUAGGAAUAUAGUGAAAAUUGUAAAGAGUUAAGGAAAGGGAAAUGACAAUGUUUCUAGAUAUGCAGGCAGUCAUGUGAGAUUCAUUUGGUAAGGAGAUUAAGCUAUUGAUUAACUUAACUCACAAAGAAAGAGUCGCCACAACGCUUUUAUUAUUUCCAAAGAAAAUAGAAAAAGAACGAACCAAACCCAAAGAAGUUUAAAAAAAACUAAUAAAAACAAAGAUAAGGGUCCAGGGGUUGGUUAUGUACAGGGAAGAUACUAGCACCCUAAGCAUCUAUAGUACUCUACAGGAACAUCUUUGAAAAUAUGUGCAUUUAGAUUUAAAAUGGUGUUGUUUACAAAAGAUUAGGGAGAUGAAAAGAGAUUUUUUUUUUAUAAUUUUUGUGUUUGCCAAGACUUUCUGAACCUCGUGCCUACGUACCCAUAAAGUGCAAUGGCGAAUCAAAACCUCGUAGUUCGUGGUAAAAAUAACAAAGAUGUUUGCUUUGAUUCAUUUUUAAUGAAUUUUUUUUUGUCAUUUUAAGAAGAACAUUCAACUAGCCAUCCACAAGUAUGGGAACUUUGCAUCACCAUGAGAAGGACUCUAACUUGGAUAAAUAUCAACUAGCUCUCUUAUAUAGAAAAGAAUUAUUAUCAAUACUAUGGGGAUAGAAAAAUUAUAUAUCAACUAUGGAAAUGACUCGUGUCUAAACUUUGAGAAAAAAGUUUUAAAAAGGAAAAAAAAAAGUGCACAAAGGGCACAAAAAGGUUUGAAUGAGUUAUGCAUUUUUAGUUUUUUGAAAUUGGUUUGAAUAUGAUUAAGAUGUAUUAGAAUUUAUUAAUAAAAGAUUUUGAAAAGAAAUCACUUGAAAAAAGUCAAGGUUUAUUGAGGAAGUAGUUCAAGUUUGAAAACAAGAAUGUUUUGAAAAAAAGAGAGAAGAUUUUGAAAAUCAAAGAAGGGGAGGAGAGGAAGAGAUUAUCCUAGAACAUAAAGUAAAAGCUAUGGAGGAAAGAUCCAACCAAGAGAUAACAACAAGAAUUCACUCCUUUGGAUUAAGCCUUAAGCAAGUCAAAUAAGCAAAGAAUAUUCCAUGUAUCAGAUGAAACCAAAGUAGCCAAGCAAAAUCUUCAAAAGAAUCUCAAAGUCAAAGGUAGCAGAUGAAUCUCAAGGUCUCAAAUCAGAAACUCCCAAAAGAUAAACAAGUAUGCCACUAGUUCUCUUAGAUGGAAAAUAAUUAUCAUCAAUACUAUGGGUAUAGAAUAAUUACAUCUCAACUAUGGAAAUGACUCAUGUCUAAACUUUGAGAAAAAGUUUUAAAAGAAAAAGUGCACAAAGGGCACAAAAUAGUUUGAAUGAGUAAUGUAUUUUUUAAGUCUUUUGAAAUUGGUUUAAAUGUGCUUAAUAUUUAUUAGCAUUUAUUAAGAAAAUAUUUUGAAAAUCACUUGACAAAAGUCAAGGUUUAUUGAGAAAGUGAUUCAAGUUUGAAAACAAGAAGGUUCUUGAAAAAAAAAGAGAAGAUUUUGAAAAUUAAAGAAGGGGAGGAGCUAAGAAGAUUAUCCUAAAACAUAAAGUAAAAGUUAGGGUGAAAAAUCUAACUAAGAGAUAGCAAGCUUUAUGACAUGUGUUAAGUAAGAACACUCUCCUUUGGAUUAAGCUUCAAGCAAGUCAAACAAGCAAAGAAAAAUCCAUGUGUCAGAUGAAACCAAAGUAACCAAGGAAAUUAUUUAAAGUAAUCCCAAAGUCAAAGGUACCAGAUGAAUCCCAAGGUCUCAAACUAUAAACUCCCAAACAAGGGUCAAAAUUCUAGUUCUAACUCCGUAACUCCAUAAUAAUCCCAAUGAUAGUAACCUCAAGUCCAUGAAUUAAGAGAACCAAUUUUUAGGGGUUUUUUCCUUUAUUAAUGUAUUUAAAAGAAAAAGAAGUCUAAAUGGACAAAGAAAAAAAGGCAUAAACAUAAACAAAGGUCCAAGUGGACAAAUAGAAAAUAGCAUAAAUACAAACAAUAUGAUAUGCGAUGCUAAAAUAAAAUCAUAAAGUUAAUAACAAGAAAUAAAUGGCAAAAAAAUAAAGAGCAUAAGAUAAAUGGCAUUAAAGUAAAUUUAAUAUAAUAAUAUGUUAGUAAGUUGUGUUAGUAAUAAAAAAUUGAAAGAUAAUUUAUCAUUUUUGGGAGAAUACUCAACUAUUCGCCCACAAGUAUGAAAAUGUGGACCUCUACAUCACCAUGAGAAAGACUCCAACUUGGAUAAAAUCAAUAAGUAUGCCACUAGUUUUAUUAGGUGAAAAGGAAACAAUAUUUUUCACACAAUACCAUGGGGAGUAGGAGACUUACAAUCUCACUUAUGAAAAUGACUUACUUUCGGAUUCAGGAUAAAUUUAACGUUAUGUUAAGCAAUCGUAAUUGGACUCAUGUUGAAGUCACAACUAUCUGAGCCCGGUCAAUAAUAAUAUUUAUGUUAAUACAUGCUAGAGAAAUUAUAUGUAAAUCAUUCUCCUAAAGAUAUGCCACACAAAAAAAGGAUGGAUCAAGCACAAAUGUUAAGAGAGUUGUUCAUUACAUCAAUCAAUACUUCAUGAUACUUAGGACAAGCUUAUGCAUCAAUCUAAAGUACCUUAAAUAUUCUAUGAUCAAUUAGGAGGUAGAUUUGAAGUGAUGAAAGUUCAUCAAGUACCAAUUCAUACAUCAUAAACAAGAUGAACACAAACCAUCCAAUUGAUCAAGAGAAAAAAGGAAGCGAAAGAGAUUAAGAAGAAGAAGAAGACGAGAGAAACCAAACUCAAAUUGGAUCAAAGGAUUGAUCAAGUCAUCAUCAAAAUCAAUCAUCCAUCUUGGUAGAUUUGGGUUUUCACCCCAUCAACACCGAAGAUCCAUUGAAUUUGAUGAGAUUUAUGAUCAAAAUAGCCAAGAUCCAAGGUCAACAGAAGUCAACAAAGGUCAAACAAGCAUAAAAUGAAAGAAAAUAAAAUAAAAUGCAUCAAAAAUAUUUUUUAAAUGAAUUUUAAAAGGCAAAUAAAACAAAAAAUUCCAUAAAACCCUUUAAAAUACCAAAUAAAUGGCCAAGAAAAUUAUGGAAGGUUGAAGAUAAAAUAAGGAACAUAAAAUAAAUUUUUCAAAUAUUUUUAAUGCAUAAAAGUAUUUUUAAACUAAUUAAAAAAAGGGGAAAAAGAGGAAAUCCAAGAAAAUAAAAUAUGGAAAAAUAAAAAUCAGAUGAAGAAAAAAAAAAGAAAAUUUUAGAAAAUAUUUUGGGAUUUUUUGGAUAAAAAAUGAAUUUUCUAUAAAUUUUUAAAGAAAAUGCAAUUUAAAAUAAAAAAUAAAAAGAAAUAAAAAACAGAAAAAAAUAGAGGCAUUGGAUCUGACCUCAUUAAUUGACGUGGCAAAUCCAACAACUAUCAGGCUAGGGCGCAUGGUGGAAAAUAGUUAGAAUAAAACAUGGAAUCACAUUCAAAAUGGACCAAUCAAAACAUUUCAAAAUGCCAACGUGGAUAGCCAACUCAGAUGGCCUGAAACAAAUCCAUUCAUCUUCUUCGGUAAUCCCUCAUCGGAGUUUCAUCAUUUGACAAAGUAAGAACAUGAGACUACCACCAAUGUGAUCGUCUCCUCAUCACGAAUUCAACCUAAUGCUCAAAAUUAAUUUAUCUAAAUUGAGUAUGGAGAAUUUCAGAGAAGUUUUAGAAACAAGCAAGUCACAAAAAGUAAAAUUAAAUGAUGAACAUUAUCACUCAACACCAGAUAAGUUAGGGGAAAGCAUAAGAGGGUGAAGGACUACAUUGUGGUAACUCGUUUGAGUUCAAAUGAUGCUCAAAACUACCUUGUCCAAAUGUAGAUCGGAGGUUGAAGAAGCUUGAUCUGGUCAGGGCACUUCAGAAGGUCUUACAGAUUGAGAAUUAUUGCAAAAUCUUCAUAGGAGACUGAAAGUUUUAAUUGAAUCAAGAAAUUGAACUGAAACAAGCUAGAAAUCAAACACGAUAGCUCAAUUUUCUAGAAAUGUUUAAUAGUGGAGCAGGGGUUUUUUAGCUCUCCAAAGCUUGGGAAUAAGGCAAAUAUAUUGCUCUAUUUAUAGGGAAGUGAUUGGUGAUCUCAUACGUGCCAAAUGAUGCUUAAUUCGUGCAAAACAAAUUUGCUCAUGAUGUGAGAAAAGUGUGACUUGUAAAACCAUCAAAACUCAGCCAAAUUAUGCAUUAAAUGAUUCAUUUAACUUUUGAAGACUUGAUUAAUCAUGUUUAGGUCCAAAACGUGUGGUAAAUUGGCUUGUAAUUAAGGAUUAGUGAAGUUCAAAAUUCUGAACAUGGUGAUUUCUUCAGUUCCAAGUUACCAUGUUUAAUUCAAUGGGGCAUCUUGCCUAGGAGGCUUUUUGAUCUCAUUUUUCUUGCAAUUUUUGGACAUCAUAUCAAAGAUUACAAUGUGCCAAGAAAGGUUGCAUUUGGAUGCUUGAGCAGAAGUUUAUGGCAUGUUAAAGUUGGCACAAAAAUUUGGUUAUGCAACUUGGAAAAUUCUAAGUCCCAGAUGGCUAAAAAUGACCCAUAAUGUCUCAAAGAAUUCCAUGGUCUUCCAAGCAUAAUUUGACUUUGAUCCUUGAAGAAAACUUGUAGAGGGCAUCACAAAUGAUAUUAUUCAAAAAGAAUCAGCGUCAAAUGUUGGAAAUUGAAGAAGUUAUAAUCCUUGAAAGUUGAGAAAAAGUCACUUGAAAAUAGGUCAAAUUUCACUAGGUCCACAAAUGACCUAUAAUGUCUUCAAACUUUUGAUGAUCCUCCAUGCAUAAUUGGAUCUUGUAAUGUAAAGAGAAGUUAUAGAGGAUAUUUAGAAGAGUCAUAUGCAAAAAGAAACAUUCAAAAAUAUUGAGGAUUGAAGGAAUUGUGAACCUUGGAACUUUGACUUCAAAUGUUGAAUUUUUGGUCAAACCUCUUGGAAUAAACUUGUGUACUUGGACUUUUAUUGCAUUUCAAGGUACAUGGAUGAUCAUAUGAACUAAAAAUAAGGUGUCCUUAAAUUUAUUUUUAUUAAAUUUCUUAAAGUUUGAGGUAACAUAUUGAAGAAGGCAUGGAAAUAAACACAUGAACCUUUGCCUUUUCUUGAGACCGAUUAUCCACUUUUGUGUAACCGAUUACAAGCGCAAUAUUUUGAUUUUUCCUGCUAUUUUACUUGGUCAAUUCAGUUCCCAAUUGUGUUGUAUCUCUUGUAUAAGUGUUUAGAAUGCACACUCAUCUAAGGUUAAUGCAAUAAUAAUCUCUCACCCUUAAUUCUCCUCUUUCACACUCUACAUCCAAAGUAUCUCCACCAUUGUUCAUCAAACUUGUUGUGUCUUGUUCCAACAUUUGACAUCAAGAGUCUGGUUCAGAUCCACAAACACCUAGUGUGCAACAUGAAUUAUGUUUCCAAUGAAAGAAUCCCUGCAAACCUACAUAUCCUUGAUGCGAAGAAUUAUGAUAAAUGGUGCAAGAAAAUGAAGAUGUUGUUUGGCUACCAAAAUGUUCUUAAAGUAAUCAAGAAUGGUGUUAGCCCUCUUGUUCAAAAUGCAACAGAGGUGCAAAAAGAAACACAUAAGAAAGAGAAGAAGAAAUACUUCAAAGUGUUAUUCUUGAUCCAUCAAUGUGUUGAUGGCGACAAUUUUAAGAAAGUUGGUGAUUGCGAAUCGUCAAAGCAAGUGUGAGAGAUCUUAGAAAAGACAUGUGGAUGGGUUGACAAGGAAAAGGUGGCGAGGUUACAAACUUACAAACACCAGUUUGAAUUGAUUCAAAUGGAGGAAAAGGAGACAAUAAACUAUUUUGCAAUGAGAAUCACCCGGUUGGUGAAUCAAGUGAAGGCAUGCAAAGAAACUGUUACAAAGCAGUAUGUUGUCGCUAAAUCUUGCAUUCUUUAACACUAAGAUUUGACAAUAUAGUUGUGGCGAUUGAGGAGUCAAAGGAUCUCACGAUGAUGAGUAAAGAGAAGCUGCAAAGUUCUCUCGAGGCUCAUGAUAAAAGGAUGGAAGAGAGGAAUAACGUUAAGGCAAAGGCGGAGAUCGCUUUGCAAGCUCGUUUCAAUGAGAAGGACAAGAGAUCGAAAGGAAAAUGGCCCAAGAAAAGAAAAGGGAAUUUUCAUAAUUUUGGUGGAAGAGAGUCCUAAAAUUCAAAUAAUUUUACUUGUCAAAGGGGUGAGAGCAUCUUCAACAAACAUGGUGGUCAAGGCAACUUUAGAGGUAGAAGGAAGAGGUUUGACAAGAGCAAGGAGUAGUGCUAUAAGUAUCAAUGGUUUGGCCAGUUUGCAAAAGAAUGCAAUUUGAACAAGAAGGAAUCUCAAGGGGAUGAAGCCAAGGUUGCAAGAUAAGAGUUUGAUAAAGAGAAUACAUUUUUGGUCAUGAUCAAAGAAGGGAAUUGUAGCAGCAAACAACUGCGGGACAACAACUACAACAACUCAACGAAUGCUGAAUAGGUUGGUUGAAUGAUACGAUUAACCAAUUGCAUGAAGAGGAAGACGCCAUGAUGAGUUUGAAAGGAGUUCAAUGCAGUGAGGAGUGGUAUUUGGACUUGGUUUGUUCAACUCAUAUAACGGGAAUAAAGGAUUGGUGUGCCAAAAUCAAUUGUGCCAUGAAGAACAAAGUAAAGUUCGCGGAUGACACCACUCUAAUAUUCAAUGGGAUCAGUGAUGUUUUAAUCAUGAGAAGGGAUAAUGGACAUUCCUUGACCAUAAAUUCUUGUACAUUUAGGGAAUCAAAUGUAACCUUCUGAGUAUUGGCCAAUUUCUUGAGAAGGGUUAUAAGAUUCACAUGGAAGACAAGGGGUUGCGGGUUAUGGAUGUAAGAUGAGUCUUGGUCCUUAAAGCGCAUAUGGAUGCCAAUAAAACCUUUAAGGUUGAGUUGAAGGUUAUAGAGCAUAAAUAUCUUGCUACUGUAACAAGUAGACAAUAUUGGAUUUGGCACUAUCGUCUUAGGUAUCUCAACUUUAGAGAUUUCAAAGACUUUCAAAAGAACAGAAUGGUAACGGGGCUGCCAUCGAUCAACAUACUAGCUGAAAUUUAUGAAGAAUGUAUGCAAGCGAAGCAACAUAUGGGAAAAUUAAGAAAGUAGAUUCUAUUGGUGGCAAUAUGUAUUUUUUCACAUUUAUCGAUGAUCAUAGUACGAAGCUAUGGACAUACCUAAUCAAGAGAAAUGACGAUGUAUUUGAUGAUUGUUUGUCAUUGCAUAUAUUUAAUCGAAGAAUCAAAGAAAAAUAAGUGAAAUUUGAGAUAAAAUGAAGAAGAAUGAGGAAAAAAUAGCUAAGUGUGAAAAUUGUGGACUUAUUGAAAAUUUGAGUGAAAAGGGGAGCAAAACCGUGCAACCACGGGAAUAAUCACGCGCACCAUCACAUAGCAUCGUGCACGCGAUGGGGUCUUUAAAGCAGCAUUACACGCGCGAUACAAGGAAUCACGCGCGUGAUAAGUACUUUUUAUGGGCUUUUUAGACACGUUCUAGUCCAUUCUAACGCCUUUAAAAGAGGAUUUUCUGCACUUUCACAAGGGUUACAAAAUUGGGAGAUCUAGGCACGAUUUUGAGAGCACAAGUGGUGAUUUUUAUAGCAUUGGAAGCUAUUGGAGGCCAUUACUUCAACGUAUUUCACAUGUUAUUUUCAUCUAUCAAUUAUGGCAUUUUUAAUUGCAUUAUGAGUAGCUAAGCUCUUUUAUAUUAGGUUGUGUUAUGAUGAACCUAUUUCUAUAUUGUUGGAAUCUAUGUUGAUUUAACCAUUCUAAGAACCGUUUGAACUAUAAUUCCAUUCAAUUGCUUUUUGUUCAUAAUUCCUUUUAUGUGAGAUACUCUUUUAAUCUGAUUUUGGGCACAUAGGGAAUAUUGACUAUUAGUCUAUGUGUUGGACCUAGGGAAAUUGUUGUACUUACGCUGGUUGAAUAGGAAUAGGAGACCCUGAGUAGUGGCAUAGAGAAUUAAUGUUUUAUACAUCACCUAACCUUGCUUACGCUGGCAGACUAGGGAUAGAAAGCUCUGAGUAGUGGUUAGUGAGUUAUUUCGCGAGGGAUCAGCUAUAACGGUUUUGUUAAUUCGAUGUGGUGUUAUAGUGAUAAGACCAUUCGUAAAAGAUAUAAAACAUCAACAAUAGAGGAAUAGGGGAUUCUAGAACACAAUAUGCUCGUUUUCGUGAUAUUGUUUAAUUGUUUAUUUACUUUUCGCACUGAAACUCGAAAACCCCCCUUUUUACUAGUUUUCUAUAAAUUGCACACAUUUUGUCUUGCCUGAAGGAAAUUCAUGUGGAUUCGAUCUUUUUAUUACUUCGACAAUAUCAAUACACUUAUCGAGAAAUCAUUAAGUUUUUGGCGUCGUUGCCAGGGACUGUUGAUUUUUCAACAAGGCGAUGUUUGUGCAAUUUUUAUUUUUAUUUUUUUAGUCUUUUAGUUUUUUUUUUCUUUUUCUUGUUUAUCAUAGUGCUAUUGAGGUAUUUUUUGUUUGUGUAUGCACAAUUUAGGAUCAACAUUAAUACCAUUGGUUCUAGAAAUUGAAAGAACUACACGUGCUCUCAGAAAAGCAGUUAGAGAAGCAGCUCUGAAAGGAGGAAUACUAGAAGAAGAGCAACUAUCAAAUUCUUCUGACUCUGAAGAAGAAGCUGUAAUGGAAGCUGCACAACCCCUAACUAUGGGGCAUUAUUAUAAAUUAACCGAUGAAGGACACUUAUCAAGAGGGUUUGUGCUGGUAGACCCUGCUAACUUUGAUAUUAAAAAUUAUGUGCUUUAAGGUUUGAGAGAAAAUUCGUUUGAUGGGAACACGAUUAGAGACCCAUGGGUGCAUCUUACACACUUUUAUGAAAUAACUUAAAUGUGCAAACCAACUGAUGCCACUGAAGAGCAGGUUAAAUUGAGGUUGUUUGGGUUCUCACUAAUUGGAAGGGAGAAAGAUUGGUUACUUUGCCUUCCGAAUAAAACGAUACAUACUUGGAAGGAAUUAAAGGAUAAAUUCCUCGAAAUAUUUUUCAUUACUACUCAGUUUACCGAGCGCUAAGCAGAAAUUGUGAAUUUUGUGCAGCAGGAAACUGAGUCACUUUAUGACUCUUGAGAAAGAUUCAAAUUUUUGUUACGCAGAUGCCUGAAUCACAACAUGAAUAAUAUGGUGCAGAUGUAAAACUUCAUUAAAGGUCUCAAGAGUCAAACUCACAUGUUAUUGGAUGCUUCUACGAGAGGUACUAUCUGAAAAAUGAAUGAACCACGGGUAAAAGAUCUCAUUAAGAAGAUGUGUAUGAAGGAGUACCGAUCCAAGAAUGAAAGGUCGGUCAAGAUGGGAAUUGUGGGCACGCCUAAAGGUAUGUUACCUAUUGAUACCCACACUGCUCUUUUAGCUCAGAUUGAAUUAUUAAAUAAAAAUCUAGUUGGAAGCAGCUUAGUUAAAGCUAAUGUAGGCUAGGUACAAGCACUUGGGUGCGAUUUAUGUAGAAGAGAACAUGCGAAUGAAAGGUGUUCAUUGGAAGAGACAAGUGAGGAGGUCCAAUUUGCUAAUUUUUUAAAAAAUAACUUGUAUUCAAACACAUACAAUCUGGGUUGAAAAGACCAUCCAAAAUUCCGUUGGAAUAAUAAUCAAAAUUCAAAUGCUAACUAAGGGAUGCAACAAAGUCAACAAGCUCUGUUUCAAAGGAAUCCCAUCACAGUUGGUAGAGACCUCACAAAAUUUCAUUAAGGUCACUCAAAGUAGAUUUGAUAGGGUAAAGAAGACCCAUGAAUAAAUGAGUAGAAACUAGGAUGCGUCUAUCAAAAUUUUGGAGAUGAAGAUUGGUUAAUUAUCUAGAAAAGUAGCUACUUUGUCAAGCUCAAGUGGAGGAUUCACCAGUAACACCGUUGAUAACCAUAAGAAUGAUAACCCUAAAUAUAGGUUUAAGGGCAAUUACUGAAAAGGAUAAGGAUGAGAUAGUUAAACAAUGUGUGGUUAAGGCAUAUGAGGGUACCUGUAGCACCUCAAAUUUGCACCCCCCAUUCAUGCAUUCAUUUCAUUUUUUAGGUCAUUUAUCAUUCCAUAUUGCAUUGCAUUUUGGCAGUCAGCAUUGGCAUCAAGAGAUUCAUCAGUACAAAAGAGAAAGUUUUUUCUUGAGAUGAAGGCCAAAUGAUUAUACUAAAGAGCUUAUAUGAGCCCAGGUUCAUUUUGAAGCAAAGUUACCAAGUGGUAGAGGCCCAAACUCAUCAGUGCACUUCCAGGUCAUCUGAGGCCCAUACAAGUCAACUAUGCAGUCAACUAAGGGCUUUGAGUUGGGGAAAUGGUUUGAGACACUUCAUUCAUGUCCAAAAGAGGCUUUUUCAUCAUGUCAAACAUCUACCUUGAAGAUUUUGAAGUCAAAUCAAAAGUUUCCAAAAAUGGAAAGUGACCUGUAAUUCAAAGUUUCCAAAAAUGGCAAGUUUUUAGACCACAUUCAACUUGACUUUCCAACAUCAAAUAAGCUUCAAAUGAAUUUUUGGUCAACAUGAAAGUUGAAGAUAUUUCUCUCCUAUUUCCAAAAAGUCCAAGAGUAUGAGUAUCUGAUGAAUGGUUGAGAAGUUAUGAACAAAUGAUUGCAAAGUAUGCAUGGAACUUCAAAGUGCCAUAACUUUUGAUCCAAAACUCCAAAUUGAGCCACUCUUUUUGCAAAAUGCUUGUAUUGACCAAUAUUUUCCAAAUCAAACAUUGCAUUGCAUGAAAUUAACUCACAUGAUCAUUUGUCCAUGCAUGUAUAUUUUGGAGGGAAAAUGGAUAAUUCAAAUUCUAUUGAUCAUACAUGAAAAAUUCCUAUGCCAUUGUGAUCUUUGGAUGAUUUUAAGUGACUUUUAACCAUGCAUGUGCACUGUUCACGUGUAAAAUCUCCAUGCACCACACAUUUACCAUUUUUGCAUUACACCUCAUUUCUCAUUAAGUUUCCAUUAGCCAAGCCUAAUUGUGAUUAGCAUGAUAAUUAACAUGUGAUAUAAAUAGAUAAUCCUAACUGAAUUGGAUGAGAUUACACAUUCUAGAUCUAGAAAUUGGAUUUCCCUCCAAAAAUUCUCUCAAUUCAAACAUCAAAUUUCUACACAUAACUCAUGAAUUUUCUUGCAUAAUUGUGUUCAUCUUGCAUCAUUGAGUAAGAAUCAAGGCCUGGACUGAAGGAUUUGGUGCAGAGUCGAGCUCCACGAAUGCAUGAAAAUGAAGAAGGUUUUCUGAAUUUGAGCUUCAUUUAGGUAGUUUCAAUUGCUAUUCCUUCCAUAAAGCUUCACCUCAAGGUUGAUAGAGGAGACCUGGAGCUGGAGGAGGCUUGAAUCCACGAAAUCAUCGCACUGUUCUUCAAGAAGGUUAAAAUUUGAAUCUCAUUAUUUGCCAUUUUAUGCACAUGAUCUUGUAGGUCGUGCUCCACUGAUGAUUCUGAUAUGAAUAUUAUUGAUUUUGGCUGGAUAUUGAGUGAGUUAUGAUGAAUUAAAGUUUGUAUGCUAAAUUUGUUCUUGCUCGAUCCAUGAGAUAUGUGAUGAUUUAGAGUGAAUUAGGCAUGGAUUUGGAAUGUACGUUAUGCAAGCUUUCGAUCCAUAUCAUUUUUGCAUGAUUCUAGAAUUUUUUUGAUGCACCUUCAUCGGCGUACCACCGGAGAAGAUGACCGAAAGUACUAUUCCGGUCAUCUGGUUCAUGAGCUAGGGUUUUAAUGUGCGCACCUGUAACCAUGCAAGCCCCAGUUCGAUCCUUGGCAACUGUUAUUUUAAAAUCCAUUUAUUUUCUCCCUAUGAUCCAAACGUUGCGUUUUGCUCUAGCGCCCUUGUGAACAAGCCUUGCCUCUGUUCGAUUCUUGGCCUGGCAAUUAUCCCAAUUGAUUUUAUUGAGCGCGCCUAUGACCCUAUAGUCCUCAGUUCGAUUCAGGCGCUUUGCAUUUUUUCUUUUAUUUUCAAUUGAAGCGCUGCCUUGGACCUUUGUGUCCUGAGUUCAAUCCCUGACCAAGUAUUUUUCAUCUUUUAAUUCACAUUUCAUUUUUUCACAUGAUUGUUGUGAUGUCUAUUAUUUUUUGAUGUGAUUUUCCUAAUUUUUGUAUUUCUGGAAUUUUAAAUGUGUUUGUGUGAUUGAACAUGAUGCAAAUAUGACAUGUUAUGCUAAAUGUUUUAUGAAAUGCUCAUAUUUUAUCCAAUUGCCUUGAAAUUUGACAUGCUUGAUCUAUACAUGUGACAUGAUUUUUGAGCUUUUGUUUGGCAUUUUUAGCACAUUCCAUCACUGUUUGGGACACAUGAACAUAUGAUGUAGCAUUUGGUGUCACAUUCUUGACCUUGCUUGUGUUCAUUUUCAUUUGCAUGUCAUUUGAUAUCUUCUGGACCUAAUUCUUUGCAUGAUGCUUGUGUUUAAAAUUUUGAUCUCACAUAAAAAAUUUCAUGAUCAUUGGAUGCAUUUCUGUUUUAAUGUGGAUUUUCUACCUUUUUCUUGCCUUGUGUAGAUGAUGAAUAAGCACCACUGUUGAUUGACUGUUUGGUUUGUCUGAAUGUGAUAUUGACUGUUUGACUUUUGUACAGGUACAUUAGUCGCUUUUAGCUCUCGCUUGAGCUUUGCUUUGGUUGUGGUUGAUAUACCACCUAGGUAAUCACUCUAACUCCAUGUAGUCUGGAAGCCCUGUCGUUUCUUUUGGCAUGCAUUUGGUUGAAGUCCUCCUUAAGAGGCAAUGACUGUGUUUAUUUAUAUUUAUGCCAAAGACCUCCUUGUCGAGGCAUGUUACUUGUUAAGUCCUCCUAAGUGAAGAGGCAAUUGACAGAUGGAAAGGAUUAGCAAUCAAUCCCCUGUUAUUCGUUGAAUCGUUCAUUAUGCUCGCACUAUAUGCUGAUGCUCUUGAACCUAACCCAAGAUCCUUGUAUAUAGAGUCAGUCAAGUGGAAUAGGGUCCCUCUUUCUGGAUCCCCAGGUUUUCAUUGAUUUGAGCUCACCCAGGCCAGGGUUAAGAGCAUGAGGUCUUAUCCUCAUUACCUUUCAUCAGCUUCACCCUAACUCUCAAUGUUAGUGGUUAAGAGCUUCAGCACACCCCUACAGUUUUGGCUUGUUUGUCGAGGUUGAUAUGACCCCUUGACUAAAGCCUUACCCUCAGAUGUUUGAGCCCCUUGUUGGCGUGUUUACUUCAUGUAUAUGUUUUUGUGUGGUGUGAUUGUAUCCCCAUAGGAUUGCUAGACUUCGUAUAGUCUCUCGUUUGCAUGUCAAUUAAGGUAGCAUGGUUCCUUCGUCUAGGACUUCCUUUCUUGCGUGAGCAUUCCUAAAACACAAACAAACUUUAUCUUCUCUUAAGGACACGUUGACUCCUUCUACUACAGGUGAGUAAGUCUCCAAAGGUCGAGCAUCCAUCUAGGACUUCCUUUCUUGCGUGAGCAUUCCUAAAACACAAACAAACUUUAUCUUCUCUUAAGGACACGUUGACUCCUUCUACUACAGGUGAGUAAGUCUCCAAAGGUCGAGCAUCCGGUAGAUUGCAUAGUAACGUUGUUCACCUAAAAAACACAACAAACAGAAAUAGUUUAGCCGAACUACGACAACUCUGAUUCUCAUGUUCAGAUGAGAUACGUAGGCAUGAGAUGCGAUGUCUUGUCGAGUUUGACUGACGACUAACAUUAAUCCUUGCUAGUUUUCAUCCUCGUUGCGAUUCUUUUCUCUCGCCCUCGUUGCGAUUGAGACCUUCCUUUUCUCUUGCCCUAGUUGCAAUCGAGACCCUUCUUCUUUUCGUGUGUGUUUGUUAGGAGUCGGAUAUAAGUCCAUCUAUUGGCAUUCUGUUUCCUGUUUGCGUGUGUGUUUGUUAGGAGUUGGAUGUAAGUCCAUUUAUUGGCAUUCUGUUUCCUUGUGUGUUUGUUCGGAGUCGGAUGUAAGUCCAUCUAUUGGCACUCUGUUUCCUGUUUGUAUUUCCUUGUUAGGAGUUGGAUGUAAGUCCAUUUAUUGGCAUUCCGUUUCCUUUGAGUGUUCUUUUGACGUCUCAGCGUCUCUUUUCAGUGUUUUGUUUCGGCGUGCGUUAGCCGAGCUACGAGUGCUCUGAUUCUUCCUCUGGUUAGAGAAGAUACGUAUGCAUAGGAUGCGAUGUCCUAGCGAGCACGUCUCCCAUUUCCCCGAACUACGUCGACUCUGAUGUUUGUUUCUGACAAACUACGUAGGCCCAGGAUGCGACAUCCUGCCGAGUCUGCUUUCUCCGUCUCCUCUUCCGCCUGUUUAUUAUUCCAUUGCGUGCAGUCUUUGAGCAGUUUUAUUAGCAACCUUAUUCUUUCCUUCUGAGCGUGGAUCCCAUCGAGUACGACGGACGUGAGGGGUGCUAAUACCUUCCCCUUGCGUAACCGACUCCCGUACCUAGCAAUCUUUGUUCGUAAGACCAUUCCUUUCCCUUUUUCAGGUUUACUUCGAGGGUUUCCUUUCCCUCCUUUGGGAUAAAUAACGCACGGUGGCGGCUCUGUGUCUUUUCCCGCCGGUUGUUUUUCGCGAUGCGACAGUACCAAUCAAGGUGACCAAGAGGAAAGAGGAGUCACCAUUGAUCAACUUAUAGACAAAAAUUCUCCUUGGAGGAGAACAAAGAGGCAUAUCUUGACUGAACCAAAUCCUCCUUUACCAGAUUACGUAAAACCACCGUAGCCGAUAAUUAAAAAGAAAUUGGUUCAAGAUGAUGAAGCGGGAAUGUUUGCAAAGUUCAAGGAAGUUCUAGCUACUCUCCAGGAAAGUAUUUCAUUCCAUGAAAUUUUAGAACUAAUGCCUAAGUUUGUUAAAUUUAUGAAGGCGUUUCUAAAUGGGACGGAAGAGAAAUGAAUCAAGGAACAUGUAAACAUGACCGAAAAUGAUGAUAUGGUAAAACCUCAAUCCUUACAACCUAAACUAAAAGACUCAGGUAAGUUUAUUAUUUCUUGUAAUAUCAGUGGAUUCAAUAUUCUGCAUGCUCUAUGUGAUCUGGGGUUUAACAUAAAUGUCAUGCCACUGAAAACUGUCAAAGAAUUAAAAAUGGGUGAGAUCACACUGAAUAACAUGACUCUCACUCUAGUUGAAUCGUCUAUUACUCAAUCGAUUGUUACUUUACGCAACAUAUUAGUAUCUGUGGACGACUUAUUGUUUCCUAUAGAUGUUGUAGUGCAUGAUACAAAAGGAGAUUAAGGAGGAUCUGUUAUUCUUGGACGUCCAUUCUUGGCAACCGAGAAAGCAAAGAUUGAUGUGGACACUGGUCAACUUAUCUUGAAGUCAAAUAAAAGGAAUGUGGUUUUCAAGGUAUUUGACUGGGCAUCUUAUGUGGAUAAUUUGGAUACUUUAUACCAUCCGGAGGAAAAAGGUAGAAAAGUAGACAAAGGAACAAUGAGAAAGGAAGUGACAGGCGUGAGGGUAUCCCUUGCACCUGACGUACCUUAGACAUGGAUUGUCAAGCUAGUUACGUAAAAAAAGCGUCUGAUGGGAGGCAACCCAUCCGUAAGAAAUUAUUUUUAUGUCAUAGUGAAUUUUUAUUUUUCUAACCUUGUUAAUUUUUGUGUUAUGUUGUUCGAAGAGAAAAUAGGUAAAAGAAGAAAAGAAAGAAAAAGAAAAAGGGAAGAAAAUAGAAAAAGAAAAGAGAUAGGAAAGUUUCAGCCCCUGGAAUCAUCACGCAUGAUAAUAUAAACUAGUUAUUUACAAUAAAUUUUUUUGAUAUUUAUUUAAAGAAGCACAAUUAAUAUAAAGACAAUAACACACCAAUCACACAUAAUAAUUUUAGAAUAAUUAUACUCUAAGAUUUUGAGAGUCGUGAUAUCUCCUCUUCUUAAAUGUUUAAGAAUUGGAUCUCUCUCACUAAUCUCUAUCCCCUUAUUUAUUUUAAGAAUAAACAUAUUGAAUUAAUAAAACAUAAUUGCACAUUUCUUAUAGCGAUUAUACAAACAACUAUCAAAGUUGAAAAAACUAAAGAGAGGUCAACUCAAUCUUUAUCAAAUUAAAUUAAAGUUUAUUUUAAAACACAAACAACUAGUUCAUUAAAAAGAUAACUUGUUUAGUACACAAAUGAGAUCUUACUUAAUACAUAGAAAUAAGAUCUUACAAAACAUAGAUAUUAAAAACAUAGGAACAACAUGAAAAGUUUUCAAAAUGACAUAGACAUUGAUUAACAAAGACAUGAAUUAGUUUCGGGUAUUUUUUAACCAUCCAUCAAGGUAAACUUGUUUGGAGUCAGGGGUGAAUUUUUCUUUCUCGGCUCGGAUAUCUUUCAACCAUCCAUCAAGGUAAACCUGAUUGUUGUCUGAGGUGGAUUUUGUUGUCUCGGCUCGGAUAUCUUUCAACCAUCCAUCAAGGUAAACUUGGUUGGAGUCAGAGGGCAAUUUUAUUUUUUCAGCUCGAGUGUCUUUCAACCAACCAUCAAGAUAAACUUGUUUGGAAUCAGAGGUGGAUUUUGUUUUCUCUGCUCGGGUAUCUUUCAACCAUCCAUCAAGGUAUACUUGGUUGGAGUCAGGGGUGGAUUUUGUUCUCUCAUUUCGAGUAUCUUUCAACCAUCCAUCAAGGUAAACUUGGUUGGAGUCAGACAUGGUUUCUGUUUGCUUAGCUCGAGUAUUUUUUAACCAUCCAUCAAGGUAAACUUGGUUGGAGUCAGGGGUAGAUUUUUCUUUCUCAGCUCGGGUAUCUUUUAACCAUCCAUCAAGGUAAACUUGUUUGGAGUCAGAGGUGGGUUUUGUUUUCUCUGCUCGGGUAUCUUUCAACCAUCCAUCAAGGUAAACUUGAUUGGAGUUAGGCAUGGACUUUUCUUUCUCGGCUCUGGUAUCUUUCAACCAUCCAUCAAGGUAAACUUGGUUGGAUUCAGAGGUGGAUUUUGCUUUCUUUGCUCUGGUAUCUUUCAACCAUCCAUCAAGGUAAACUUGGUUGGAGUUAGGUAUUGACUUUUCUUUCUCAGCUCUGAUAUCUUUCAACCAUCCAUCAAGAUAAACUUGGUUGGUGUCACCUGUAGAUUUUGCUUUCUCAUCUCGAGUAUCUUUCAACCAUCCAUCAAGAUAAACUUGGUUGGAUUCAGAGGUGUCUUUUGCUUUCUUUGCUCUGGUAUCUUUCAACCAUCCAUCAAGAUAAACUUGAUCAGAGUCUUGGGAGGAUUUGGUUUUCUCUGCUCGUGUAUCUUUCAACCAUCCAUCAAGAUAAACUUGGUUAGAAUUAGCAAUUUGUUUUUGACUCUUCAAUGGAUUUUUGAGCCAACCAUCAAGGUAAGGUUGAUCAGCUUGUAUUUCUUCUACAUUCUCUUGCUGAAGUUUGAUAUAUCGGGCAAAGCUUCCUUGUCCAUUCUACGAUACAAUUGAAUAAAUGGAUAUUAGUGAGUUAUUUUUGGAUGGUAUAUAUGACUAUAAAAACAAAAUUAUGUGUUUUAUG